GUUUGAUGGAGGUUUUGACCUUUGAGGUUUCGCUUUCGUGGGAGUCCAUGUUCUGUAGCUUUGCAUUUGUUGGUGUACAAAACGAUGUUUUGUUUAUAAUUGGCGAGGGAUUGCUUGAUGAUGGGUGUUCUCUGAAAUGGUGUCAUGGAGGGUGUCUGUCUUUUUGUGCUUUUAGUUUAGAAACUGUGUUGUCAUUGAUUGUAAUUUUAAAAUUUAGAAAUUUCAUUUCCUGCAUGUGUGUGUAUGUAGGUGAAUAUAACACUGUGCUUUUGUGUUUUUAUUUGAGAAGCGACAUAAACUGUUGUUGAGUGGAUUUAUAGAUAUAAUUUUGUUUUUAAGAAUGUUCUCGUUUGAAAGGUGCCUGGGAAUGCAUUGUUCGUCUCACAAAACAUUUGUACCUUAAUAAAAGGAUACAAUGCCAAUGAACCUUAUGAACUGAUAUUUGACACAGUUAUCUACUACAUAAUGGGUUUCACAAAUACAAGUUCACCAAAAAAUUUGAAGAUGAUUUAAAGAAGAUUUCAAGUUAGUAAAUCUUAGUUUGUCUCAACAAGUGAUUUAAAAGAUUUUUUCAGUGUGCAUUAAUUAAGUUUUUAAAUUUUAUUUAACCCUUACAAGAUGAUAUUCAAAACUCAAUCACCAAAAUUUGAUGUUUUUGAGGAAAUCUGAAGGUUAACAAUAUCUGUAAAGUGUUAUUUAUUUCUUUAAUUCUACCCAUUAAGAUUUGAGACAAUUAAUUAAAAUCUAAGUCACUUCAUAUGUAAUUACAACUCUCUUACGAAAUCUACCUAGAAAAUUGCACUUUCUUCCUUCUAGAAUUCCAAAUUUACAAACAAUCAAAAUUUUCAAAAUUAUAUUUUAUUACACAAAAAUAUUGUGAAUAGAAACUCAAUAUAACUACUCCUUACAAACAAGAACAUUCAUAAAAACAAAAUUUCAAAAGACUCUUUAUUUUUGAAAUUACAUGAAAAAAAAAUCCUAUUUUCUUUCAAUAUUAUUUUCUUGUUAUAUACAACAUCAAACCAACUUCUUUUAAAACUGCACAUUAUGCUGUAAUUCCAAAAUCAAAUUGUAGGAUUAAAUUUCAUCUUUUGAGUCUUUCAACAAGAUACUAUAUGCAUGGUUUGAAGAUGUUUUGAAUUCAAAGGUAAACACCAAAACACGUAUAUAUAUAUAUAUAUAUAUAUAUAUAUAUAUUUAGAUUUGAAAUUUAUACAAAAUAUUUUGGCAAGCCACAACUUUACUAUUUUUAAAAUUGAAAAAAAUAUAUUCCGUAGUUGGUUCACCAUUUUCUUUUUUUUUUUCUAUUUAUCAAUUCUUAGCAUUUAAAUUCCUUAUUUUCAUCUAAAAAAUACCAAAUUAUAGCUUUAAGUAUUUUGAAUCGUUAGAAAUUCAUUGUGGAUUUAAAACUUCAACAUCAAUACUUAGUAGUUUUAGUUAUUCUAAUUGGAAAAAAUUAACUAAUAUCUUAAUUAAGGAUAUAUAUAUAUAUAUAUAUAUAUAUAUAUAUAUCAUUCAAAAUUUAACAAAUGAUAUCAUCAACUAAGAAUAUAUUUUCAAAUGAACACAACAGUAAUUCAAAUCUAAGUGAUGUAUUAAUCAAUGGACACUAGCAUUCACGUUUAUAAUUUGACUAUAAUCAAUUAUAUAUAUAUAUAUAUAUAUAUAUAUAUAUUUAUUGAUAAUUUUAUUUUUAUAUUUAAUUUUUUCUGUUUUUCUUAUUUUUUUACUUUAUUUAUCUAUUUUUUAAAAUUCACAAGUAUCCAUAUACAAAAUUUAUGAAAUUUUUACCAAAGUUCGAAAAAUAAUAAUGAAUGUUUCGAAAGCCUUAUUCUCAUCUACCUGUAUGAACAGUUUGAGUGUAAGAAUAUCUUGUAAAAUUCUUUAGAAACAUUUUUCAACAACUCAACAAAAGUAAAGUUCAAGCAUAUAUAGAUCCAUACUGUAAAAUUUAGCAUUGUAUAAAAUGUAAUCAAUGUGUCAGUGUUGUAAAUUAAGCAAGUAAUUGUGUAUGUUACAUAUUUUAUAUCAAACAAUACAAUGUAUUAUUUAAAUAAAUCAUUGACAUUUUUACAUAAUAACUGAAUUAAAAUGCAACAACACAAUGUGAGAUAUAACCUAAAUAAAUAAAUAAAGUAUAUAAUUAUCAUAGAAGUGUUGAAAGUAUUCAAAUUUUUUAAGAUAUCAUGAGAUUUUCAAUAAAAUCAUUAAAUGUUUUAAAAACAAUUUCAUAGUACCAAAAAAACAAUUAGCUUGACAAAGCCAUUUCCUUGUCUAAUUUAAUAGUUGAAUUAAUCAUAAAUCUCUUACCUUAGUUUAGAGAUUAGUGUAAUAGAUUAUUGCAUAAAAUUUAUAGAGAAUUUAUAGUAUAGAAGGAUUUGUUUUCAGAAUAGUAUAAUAUGGUUGAAUCUAAGUUUGAGUUAAUAAAAAUAAUCUAAAACAAAUGAGAUUAUAAUUUUUAAUUCUAUGUUUUAAUAAUAACAUUUAAUUCAAAUACAAAAAUUGAAUAUCAAAUAUAUAUAUAUAUAUAUAUAUAUAUAUAUAUAUAUAUUGAAUGAUAUUUAGUAGUAUGGUGACAUGAUAAUAAUAAUGGUAAUAAAUUCUUGUUUUUACCCUCCAUCCCCCAACUCAACUCCCUUCUUGUCUCCAUUUUUAGCACCCAACUUUCAUUUUUGUUCCUUAUUAUUGUGAAGGAUGCUUUUUAUAUUAAAAAAAUCAUGUCCAAAAAAUUAUUUAUGUUGCAUUGCAAUCUUCUAAUUGCAAUUAAAAGUUAAUGUAUUUUUUAUUUUAAAACAUUAUUGAUUUAUUUGAUUAUAUUUUGUGUACUCAUGAAAUCUAAAAUUAUUUAUUUUAAAUUAAAAAUAUACAAGUCUUUUGAAAUAGACAUCAAGUAUAAAAUCUAUAGCUCAAGGCUUUGGAAUUUAGGAUUGAUUUUUUGAGUAAAAAACAUGAGUUGUUUUAAAAGUUGUAUAUCAUUUUUUAUAAAAUGGAGAUAAGAGUAAAGAAAAAAUAGAAAGGAGGGAAGAUGAUGGGGGAGGAAAAGGGAGGAAAGGAGGAAGGAGGAAAAAAAAAAACAAAACAACAACAACAACAACAACAACAACAACAAUAACAAGAGGAUCAAGAUAGGAGAUGGAAGUGAGAACAAGGGAUUAUUAUAGACAUGCAUAUUUAUUUAUAUUAAAGGAAUUAUAUAGAAGUUAGUAGAAAUAGGUAAAUUUGAUGAUAUUUUAUAGAUAAGCUAUAUACAUGCGGAUUUGACUUUUUAUGUAUUUCAUUAUUUCUUUAAAAAUAAUAGAGUAUCUUUUUUUAUAGAAAUUUUUGUUUGAUAUUAAAAUUUACAAUUUAGCUUCUUCUAAUUUUAUUGUGGAUUUAAUAAAAUAAUCUAUUAUAUAAAUGAAUAAAUAAUUUAUAAAUGCUACACUUAGUAGAAGUGAAAAUUGAUUUGUAGCUAAUGCAAAUCUUCAAGAGCUUGUCAAAAUUCUUAGAAUAAAAAUCUCAUAUAUUUUCAACAUCAACCAUGGUAUUACUAUUCUCAUGCAUAUAAAAGAAGUCAAUAAUGUUUAAUGUCUUUGUUAAGAAAUUAUAUAAUUAAAAAAAUAUAUAUAGAUUUAUCUCACAAUUGAAUCUAAAAAGUCUUACUACUACAAAUAUGAAGGAACCAAAGAUUAAUAUACUGGAAAAUUUGAUGGAACAAGAAUAAAAUUUUGAAGAUUUCUAUAAUAAGUCAAGUUCUAUCUAAAGUUAUAUCCUUUCCAAUAUCUUAAUGGAUUUAUUCAAGUUGAAUUAAUAAGAAAAUUCCUAUCUAGAAGUAUUUUUUUAUUUAUUAUUUUUAACUUUGAUAGAAAAGGAUUCACAUCUCUAUAAAAUCUAAAUUCAUUCAUGGAAGUAUUUAUGACCAUAUUUGAAGAAAGUGGUCAAAAAAGAAUAUUAGAUAUCAAAUUCCUAGCUUUGCAAUAAAGAUCACAAUCAACAACCAUAUUUGCUAUUAAAUUCAAAAACCUUGCUUGCAACAUGGAUUGAAAUGAUAAAAUUCUUAUAAAUAAAUUUUGAUAUAGAUUAAAAGAUAAUGCCAAAGUUUUUUUUAUUGACAAUGUUAAAAUCAAGCUCAUUAGAAUAAUUUAUUGCUCAAGCCAUUUCAUGAAAUUAUAACUUUUUGAAAGAUGCUAAAAAUAAAAAUUUAAUUGAAAAAAAAUAAGUUAAGUCAUGAUAAGAAUUUUUUAGUUUUUAUAUACUUAUUCAUCAAAGCUAAAACCUAUGUAAAUUAAUAUAAUAUGAUUUAAACAUCUUAUUAAGUAAAAGACAAUUCAAUGUUAUUAUAAAAGAUAGAACUUAUAUUAUAAAGAAACUAAACACAUUAUUCAAUAUUGUCCAAAGAAGCAAUACAAUCAUAGAAUUAAAAAAAUAAUUACUAAAGAAGAUAAUUUAUCAAAAAAUAAGUUUGAUAAACUAUAAUAAUGACUAUGUAAUUAGAAUCCUAAGCAUGUUAGGGACAUAGUCCUUAGAACCUUCUAGAGACAAGUUUCUAGAACCUUUUAGAGACAAGCUUCUAGAACCUUCUAGAAGCAAGUCUCUGGAACCUUCUAGAAGCUUCUUAGUUGGUAGAAGAUGUUAGGGACAUAGUCCUUAGAACCUUCUAGAGAUAAGUUUCUAGAACCUUCUAGAAGCAAGUCUCUGGAAGCUUCUAGAAGCUUCUUAGUUAGUAGAAGUUGCUUGAGAAGCUUCCUAAAUAGGAGUAUAUAUUGAAAUCGAGGCUGAAGAGUUCUUCAGUCUCGACAACACAUCUCUUGGAGCUCUAGCUCACCUCUUUGGUAUUGUUCUUGUAUUCAUCUGAUUAAUCUAGUUCUUGUCAGUUCUUCUUGAACUUCUUGGUAGAUAUCAAGUCUGUAUUCUGUGUCCGUGACAGUUUGUCAAGACUUCACUCACCUCAGAUAUCAGAGCUAGUUUCUUCUUUGUUAGAGUGUGGAUUACCCCUCUGCAUGGAAGUGUACUAGCACUUUAAAGGUUGCAGAUUACCCUCCUCUAAACUGGUACUUCUUUUGUUACAAUAUUGGAGUCUUAUUCUUCUUGGAGAGAGUGGAUUACCCCUUUUCUUGAAGCUCCUAAGGCAUUUUAGAGGUUGCGGAGUACCCUCCUCUAAACCAAUCUUGUCUUCUUAUAGAGUCAUUUCUGUCCUUCUCUUAGAAUGGUCGGGAGCCAAGAUAUUAGUAUGACGGAAAGUUUAGAGUCCAAGUUAGAUGCUAUCAUGAAUGCCCUCGCUACGUUAUCGCAAAGAACUGCAGAGAUUGAAGGAGUCGUGGCAAGGCUUCAUAAUGAUGGAGCAUCUGGGAUGGCACAAUCUAGGUUGCACCAGCCUCAAACUUCUACACUUGGAGAAGCAACUUUACCUCAGGUUCGACAAGCACCUCUGGUUCUACAACAUAAGGAAUCCCGAGUUAGUCUUCCGGACAAGUUCGAUGGUACACGUUCCAAGUUUCGAGGAUUCUUCAACCAAAUCACGUUGAUAACAGUUUUAUAGCCUGAACGCUAUCCAACGGAGGAGUCACGUGUUGGGCUUGUUGGAACCUUACUUACAGGACAAGCUCUAUCAUGGUUUGCUCCUUUGUUCGAGAAAUGAUCGUCCAUACUAAACAACUUUGAAACCUUUUUGGAGGCAUUUGCGAAAGCAUUUGGUGAACACGACAACGUUCGUUGGCCUACAACAAAGAUCCGGUCACUACGACAAGGGAUACGUUCUACAUCAGUCUAUGCAUCGGACUUCAGGCAAUUAGCAUGCAACAUCAAUUGGGACGAAGAAGUGUUGAUGAGUCAAUUCUAUUGGGGUUUAAGGGACAAUGUGAAGGAUUUGCUGUUAAUCCUUCCUCAUCCACAAACGCUCAAUGAAGCUAUUAGCCAAGCUGUGAAGUGCGAUAACCGCCUAUUCCAACGUCGCCAAGACCAACGUUCAAGACAACAUACAGUUCGCCACACCCCAACUAUGUCGGCAAGCAGCAUGAAUUCACAUUCAGAGAUAGAAGUCGUGCAAAUUGAUGUGGUACGUGUCAAAUCUCUUACUCUAGAAGAAAAAAAAGCGACGUAUGGAGGAAGGUCUAUGCUUAUAUUGCGAUGAAGAAGGCCACAAAGUUGGAAACUGCCCUAAGAAGCGAAAUCGACGUAUUAUCAAGACUAGGGGCGCGUUUAUUCAGGAAAACGAGAAUGCCCAGCCACAAUAGGAACCUUGCGGCUGGACAGUGAAAUAUCGCAACAACAACCAGGUUCCUUUCUUUCCGCUCAACCUGCCCUUUGUUUUACAAUCCCUUUGCUUAUUGGCCCUCAGAAACUGAGAACCUUAGCAUUAUUAGAUUCAAGAGCAUCUACUUGUUUCUUAGAUGAAGAAUUUGCAAAGCGUCAUAAGAUUCCUUUAGUACAAAAAUCCAAACCUGUUCACAUUGAGGUCAUAGAUGGACGACCUUUAUUGUCUGGUAGUGUCACCCAUGAAUCACAACUUAUAGAAGUGACGUUUAAAGACCAUAGUAGUCAUAUUAUUUUCAAUAUUAUUAGAACUCCAUCAAAUCUUGUUAUUCUUGGUCUUUCCUGGUUGGAAAAGCAUAACCCAUCCAUAGAUUGGAAGUUGCGGAAGAUGAACUUUUCCACAAAACCACCCAAGAGCAAGCCUAGUAGAAAACCCCGAAUAGAGAAAUCUUUAUUUAUUGGAGCAAGAGCGUUUAUAAGAUUGUCCAAGGGAGACACACCAUUUGUCAUUUAUGCGGCUCCAACUACCGGGGAGAAGAUCUCGACAGCAAGUAUACCGGAGCAAUAUAAGGAUUUUAAAGACGUGUUUCAAAAGAAAAAUGCCCACAUGCUACCAGAACACAGACCAUAUGAUUGCACCAUAGACUUGCAGAAAGGAGCACAACUGCCUUUUGGCCCAAUCUACAAUCUAUCGCAGACGGAAUUGGCAGAGUUGCGGAAGUACAUCGAUGAGAAUCUAGCCAAGAACUUCAUCCGUCAUUCAAAAUCGUCAACUGGAGCACCCAUCUUAUUUGUGAAGAAGAAAGAUGGCUCAUUGCGGAUGUGCGUGGACUAUCGAGGCCUCAACAAGGUAACAAAGAAGAAUCGUUAUCCGUUACCCUUGAUUUAUGGUCUCUUAGAACAACUUGGACGUGCAAGGAUCUUUACAAAAAUUGAUCUAAGGGGAGCUUACAACCUCGUACGAAUCAAGGAAGGAGAUGAAUGGAAGACAGCAUUCCAUACAAGGUAUGGCCAUUUUGAAUAUAAUAUCAUGCCCUUUGGUCUUACCAAUGCUCCAGCGGUCUUUCAACAUAUGAUGAAUGACAUUUUUCGAGAGUACCUUGAUGAUUUUGUUGUCAUCUAUUUGGAUGAUAUUUUGAUAUUCUCCAAAAAUGAGGAAGAACAUGAAAAACACGUUCGUUUGGUAUUGGAGAAACUACGCAAGCGAGGACUAUAUGCCAAGUUGGAGAAGUGUUUAUUUCACCAAAUAGAGAUGGAGUUUCUUGGGUUCGUUGCGACUACGGAAGGCUUGAAGAUGGACCCCAAGAAGGUGGAAGCAAUCGUGUCCUGGGAGGUUCCAAAGACGGUUAGAGACAUACAAUGCUUUCUUGGUUUUGCCAACUUCUAUCGGAUCUUUAUCAAGAAUUACUCUCAAGUUGCUACUCCUCUCACUCGGUUGACAUGCAAGGAUAAGCUGGAAUGGGGACCUCUAGCAGAGAAGGUAUUUCAAAACCUGAAGACCGCAUUUACUAUGGCUCCAAUCUUGGUACAUCCAGACUUUACAAAGGCCUUCUAUUUAGAAACUGAUGCUUCGGAUUUUACUUUGGGAGCUGUACUUUCACAAAUGAGAGAAGACAAGAAGCUCCAUCGGAUUACAUUCUAUUCUCGAAAGUUCUCUGCUGCUGAAAUCAAUUAUGAGAUCCACGAUAAGGAACUUCUUGCUAUAGUGGAUUCUUUCCAAGAAUGGCGUCACUUUCUUGAAGGAGCUGCACAUCCAGUGACCAUACACACAGAUCACAAGAAUUUGGAGUAUUUCAUGUCGGCUCGAGUUCUAAAUCGACGUCAAGCUCGAUGGAGUAUGUUGCUAUCUAGGUUCGAUUUUAUUAUCACUUAUCAACUUGGAAAGUAGCAACGACUAUCUGAUGCCUUAUCAAGGAGAUCAUAUCUUGUACCAAAGGCUGGAGAAGCAGCGUUUGAUCAACAAUGUACGACAUUGUUGAAGCUAGAGCAAUUUCAGCUUUGCGCUUCUAUUAUGCCAAUUGAUGCUGACUUCCUGAAUCAGGUACGUACCGUAACCAUUGAAGAUUCAGUAGCCAUUGAUAUUAAGCAGCGUGCCAAUGACGACAAGUUCAAGGUGGAGGGAGAUCUUUUAUACUUUGAAGAGCGGUUAUAUAUCCCAAAAGGACCAGCACGACUCCGAGUUCUUCAAUCUCGCCACGAUUUUCCAACUACGGGACAUUUUGGAUUCAAUAAGACCUUGGAGCUUAUUUCUCGAGAUUUUUGGUGGUCCCAAAUGUGGAAGGAUGUGAAAGAUUUUGUCUUCUCCUGCGACAUUUGUUCAAGAUCCAAGAAUCCUCGGCAUCGCCCUUAUGGACUCCUACAACCAUUUCCGAUUCCACAUCGACCAUGGUCUUCAAUUUCCAUGGACUUCAUCACGGACUUGCCAUCAUCGAACUCAUUUGACAGCAUCUUUGUCGUGGUAGAUCGGCUUACAAAAAUGGCACACUUCGUCCCUUGCAAGAAGACAGCGUCCAAUGAAGUCACAGCAAGGCUCUUUCUCGAUAAUGUGUAUCGAUAUCAUGGACUAUCAGAUGAUAUCGUAUCAGAUCAAGGAACCCAGUUCGUAUCAAAGUUUUGGAGAUCUCUCUUUGAGAUACUGAAGGUGGAUAUCAAGCUUUCUUCGGCUUUUCAUCCUCAAACUGAUGGUCAAACGAAACGGGUGAACCAAGUCUUGGAACAAUACUUACGAUGCAACAUCAACUAUCAGCAAGACGAUUGGACCAAAUAUCUGCCGCUAGCCGAGUUUGCAUAUAACAACACCCUCCAUGCGUCGACUCAAUACACACCAUUCUUUUUCAACUAUGGGUAUCAUCUAAAGCUUGAUUUAUUGAGUCCAUCAACAAAUAACAAUCCAACAGCUGAAGGAUUUGCGAAACAACUAUCAGAGCUUCAAAAUACGUUGAAGCUUCAAUUACAAUCCGCUCAAGAAUCCUACAAGGCGUCUGCAGAUAGAUUUCGGAAUCAAGCACCUACUUUCAAAAUUGGAGAUAAAGCAUGGCUUCUUCGACGGAAUAUCAAGACCAAGCGACCAUGUGAUAAGUUGGACUAUCGAAGAUUGGGACCAUUUAUCAUCCAAAAGCAAAUCAAUCUAGUGGCAUACCGUCUGGAAUUACCGGCUUCUAUGAAGGUACAUCCAGUCUUUCAUGUUUCUUUGUUGGAGCCUUAUCGAGAGUCGUCUUUUCCUGGAAGAGUGCAAUGUCCGCCACCUAGUAUUGAGAUCGAGAACCACGAGGAAUACAAGGUUAAAAAGGUACUGGAUUCUCGGUGAAGGUGGGGCAAGUUGGAGUAUCUUAUUCAUUGGUGCGGCUACGACAUUAAUGAGCGAACGUGGGAGCCUGCUGAAAAUCUCACCAAUGCGCUGCAAAAGGUAGAGGAGUUUUAUCAACAACAUCUUCAUAAACCUAAGCCGAUUCGACAAUAGCUUCUUUCUGAAGCUUGCUCACCCAAGAAUAUAAGAAAGGAGAAGAGCACGACCAAAAUUCGUAGUUGAUGUAGUUAUUUUCUCCAACAUAAAAUAGAAUUUUUUCAGUAGCUAUAGUUUGGUCUUUUGAUAUGUGUAGCCAAAAGAUAGAUACUAUGCCAGUCAGAUUAUCUCAACCAACUAGUUCACGAAGGCGACCCCGAGAUGAAGAACCACCUGCACCACGAAACGAUGGAGGAUACCAAGUAACCGAUCACUGGUGAUUGUAUUUGAGUCCGAGCCUGCUUACGAUGGUCAACCUAAAGGCAUAUUUGCAGGACAAUUUUACAAUAAAGACACGGAAGUUCAUGCUUGGUCAGAAGUUGAAGGAGUGGGCCACUACCAUUGGCUUCAAGGGCCGAUGAACCACUUACCUCGUGAACAACAGUUGGAGUUCAUAACAGACGUUAUGCGACAGAUCUUAAUUUUUUUGCGUUGGUACUGAUUGACAACAACAUUGCUUCUAGGAGACCUCGAAGCUAAAAGAGGGGGUGAUGUUAAGGACAUAGUCCUUAGAACCUUCUAGAGACAAGUUUCUAGAACCUUCUAGAGACAAGCUUCUAGAACCUUCUAGAAGCAAGUCUUUGGAACCUUCUAGAAGCUUCUUAGUUGGUAGAAGAUGUUAGAGACAUAGUCCUUAGAACCUUCUAGAGAUAAGUUUCUAGAACCUUCUAGAAGCAAGUCUCUGGAACCUUCUAGAAGCUUCCUAAUUGAUAGAAGUUGCUUGAGAAGCUUCCUAAAUAGGAGUAUAUAUUGGAAUCGAGGCUGAAGAGUUCUUCAGUCUCGACAACACAUCUCUUGGAGCUCUAGCUCACCUCUCUGGUGUUGUUCUUGUAUUCAUCUGAUUAAUCUAGUUCUUGCCAGUUCUUCUUGAACUUCUUGGUAGAUAUCAAGUCUAUAUUCUGUGUCCGUGACAAAGCAACACCUAAUAAAGGUAAUUUGUUUUUUACAAAUUCUUUACUUUAUUUUACAAUAGAUAUUUGUAUAAGAUCAAAAAAUUACAAAGCUUUAGCCUUCUUAAAUUUAAAAUUUUCAUUUUUUUUUAUAGACAAAGACUUUAUUGAAAUUUAAGAAAUACAUUUAAUUAAAAAAAUUAAAUCUAAAUAUAUAGAAGUUAUAGAUAUUUAUUUUUUAUCUUCAAAGGAUAUUAAAUAUAAAAUUAUUCUUAUAAAUAAAGCAAAUAAUUUUUAUAAAAGUUUAAUAAUAUUUAAUAUUAUUAAAUAUCCUUCUAUUUUAAUUGUUUUAGAUUUUAUUAUAUCUGAAAAAUCAUAAUCUUUAAAUAGACUAAAUUUCUUAUAAUCUAGAUUUUUUCUAUAGUAUAAUUCAAAUUUUUUUUACUAAAAGUAAAAAUUCAUAAGUCUAAUAUAACCAAAUCCUUAUUGAUAGGUAUAAGAACUUUCAAGCAUAUUGCAAAAGAUAUGUUAUUUUUUUUAUUUAUAUAAUAUCCAUUUUUUAUGGUAGAAAAACUUCAAGUAACAUUCUAAGUUAGUGUAAAGAUUAUAAAGAUUUUUUUGAAUAUAUAUAUAUAUAUAUAUAUAUAUACAUAUUUUUUUAGAGCAUUAUCCUUAUAAUUGUUCAAUUGAUCUUUAAGAAGGAACUCAACUAUUAUUUGAACCAAUCUACAACUUAUCACAAAAUAAAUUAGUUGCACUCAAGGAAUAUUUUGAUGAAAAAUUGACUAAGAACUUUAUACAUCAUUUAAAAUCUCUAGUAGGAUUUCUUAUCUUAUUUGUUAAGAGAAAAUAUGGAUCACUAUAGAUAUGUAUAAAUUAUUGAAGAUUCAACAAGAUUAUUAUUAAGAAUAAAUAUCUUCUAUUGUUGAUAUUAAAACUACUUGAUUAAAUAAAUUAAGCAAAGAUCUAUAUAAAGAUAGAUCUAUAAAGAGCAUAUAAUUUAAUAUACAUUAAAAAAAAUGAUGAAUAGAAGAUUAUAUUUUGAAUAAAAUAUGGGCAUUUUGAAUAUAAUAUCAUGCCUUUUGGACUUACAAAUACAUUAGCUACUUUUCAAUAUCUAAUCAGUGAUAUUUUUUAAGGUUUAUUAAAUAAUUUUAUUAAUUUUUAUCUAGAUAAUAUUUUAUCUUAAUCUAAGUAUACAAAAAAAACAUAAACUUUAAAUUUUUUAUAUAUAACAAAAUUUAGAAAUAUAUGACUAUAUACUAAGAUAGAAAAGUGUAUAUUUUACAUAAUUCAAAUUGAUUUUUUAGAAUAAAUGAUUUCAAAUGAUGAUUUUAUAAUGGAUUUUAAGAAAGUUUAAAUUAUUAUGGAUUAGAGGAUUCUAAAAAAAAGAAGAGAUGUGCAAUGUUUUUUGAUGUUUAUUAAUUACUAUUAUAUCUUUAUUAAAAAUUAUUUUUAAGUUAUAGCUCUACUUAUUUUUUUGACUUAUAAAAAUAGAUUUAAGUAGAAUAAAGAAACGAAAGUAUCAUUUGAAACUUUGAAGGAAAAAAUUACUUUUCUACUAGUCUUUUAUUGCAUCAACUUUACCAAGAUAUUUUUAUAAAAAUAGAUACAUCAAAUUUGAUCUUGGAUGUAGUAUUGUGAUAAAUGGGAGUAGAUGACAAACUUCACUUGAUUUCUUUUUAUUUAAAAAAUAUUUUAGCAUCCAUUAUUAAUUAUAAGAUUUACAACAAAUAAAUUCUUAUAAUUAUAGAUUUAUUUUAAGAAUGGUGCUAUUAUCUAAAUGACCUUGUUAAUCUAGUGAACAUUUGCACAUAUCAUAAGAAUCUCAAGUAUUCCAUGUCAAUACAUGUUUUAAAUCAUCACUAAGCCUAUUGAAGCAUGUCUUUAUUAAGAUUUGAAUUCAAGUUUAUGUAUCAACUAGAAAAAUAAUAAAUUUUAUUAAUUAUUAUUUCUAAACACUCUCAUCUUAUACUAAAAGAAGAAAAUAUAGCUUUUGAUCAAUAAAAAAUAAUUUUUUUAAAGUAUAGAAAUUUCAUCUUUAAGGUAUAAAAUCAACAUUGAUUUUUAAUUCAACCUUUCUUAAGAAAAUUCAAUUAUGUCUAUCUUGAAAUUUUCUUGUUUAUGAUAGUAAAAAUAAUUUUAUUAAAUAACAUGAUAUUUCUAAGUUUGAAUUUAAAAAUUAACUUUACUAUUUUAAGUGAUGCUUAUAUAUUCUAAAAAUUGAAGUAGAAUUAUAUGUUCUUUGAGUUUGUCAUAAUUUUCUAAUUAUAUGAUAUUUUGGAUAUAUUAAGAUUUUAAAACUCAUAUGAAGAAAUUUUUGGUGGCUUCAAAUGUAAAAAUUAGUAAAAGACUUUGUAAAAUUAUAUGAUAUUUGUUCAAACCCAAAAACUCCUUGUUAUUAACUUUAUGGAUUUCUUCAACCACUACCUAUUGUCAAGGAUAUGAAUCUUGAAGAAAGAAAAUCCUCAAUACACUCUUAUGUCACUGAAAGAAACUAAAAAAUUACUUAAAGAUGAUAUAAUAUUGAACUAGAAUAGCUAUUGCCAAAAACAAGAAGACUAGAAAGUCUUAAAACAAGACUAAGGACUAGAAAGGCAUUGACAAGAGUCAAGAAGGCUUCAUUCUUGCCUCUAUAUUUAUUCUUAACUAGAAGUUAUGUGGCAAUGUCCUAUAGGACCUCCAAAACAUCUUGACUUUAUUAACCACAUGUCUAAACUUACAAGGCAAGUUAUUUAUGUAUGCGCCACAUAAUUAACUUGUUCUACAUGCUACUAUACGGAGUUGACUUGUUCUACAUGCUACUAUAUGGAGUUGACUUGUUCUACAAGCUACCAACACAUUGUUAACUUAUUGGCCAAGUUUCUAACCUACAAACACAUCUAAAGUCAAAAUCAUGUCUAUAAAGCUUCUAGGAAGCAUCUCUAAAAGACUUUAUAAAAUUAAUCUAUAUUUACUUACUUCUAAUUAAUCAUAUAAGUAACUAUUGACAUAAAUGUAUAUGUCCAUGAAAUUACCCUCCCUUCUAAAGACAAGUCUACAAGAAGUAGUCAUCAUCUUUCAUCGAUCUUUAUAAUUCUUUAUCUUAGUUUUGAUGGAUGUCGUCGAUGAAAUGCUUCAACCUUCUUUGUUGCAUUUACAAGAUUCUUUGUUGGCUCCCAUGUGUAUUCACUAAUAUCAUAUCCUUGCCAAUGAAUAAGAUAUUCUAACCUAUUUUGGCACUGCCUUGAGUCUAAGACUUCUUUCACCUCAAAUUUUUGAUUAUUAUCUACUUCUAUAGGAGGAGGUGGCAUUUUUCUUCUUCCCAAAAUAUUCACUGUCUUAUACGACUCAAGAAGGGACAUGUGAAAUACAUAGUGGAUCUUCAUAGACUCCAAUAGAUGUAAUCGAUAAGCAAUAGAAUUGAUUUUUUUACAAAUAAAAAAAAUUCUCAGCCUACGAUAGUCCAACUUAUCACAAAGACGAGUAAUCUUAAUAUUGCGACAAAGUAACCAUACCUUGUCACCUAUGUUAAAUUUUGGUUGCUUCUUAUGAUAGGCAUUUGUGUUAGUCUUUUGCCAUCUAUAGAGUCAUAUGAACCUAAGAUUAAAAGAUCUGUGGCUCUAUAUGAUAGGCAUCUACGUUAGCUUUUCAUUGAUAAUAUCUAUCUCUAUCAUGGAUUACUAAAGGAUAUUAUAUCAAAUAGAAAGACUCAAUUUGUAUUAAGAUUUUGAAAAAUCCUAUUCAAGAUUUUAAAUGUGGAUAUUAAGCUCUCUUUGGCUUUUCAUCCUCAAAGUGAUGGACAAAUGGAAUGGAUGAAUCAAGUUCUAGAAUAGUAUUUGAGGUGUACCAUCAACUAUCAUCAAGAUGAUUGGACAACUCUUUUGCCAUUGGCAGAGUUUGCUUAUAAUAAUUCAGUACAUUUUUCUACUCAAUAAACACCUUUCUUUGCUAAUUAUGGUUAUUAUCUACAACUUGAUACUUUUGACUUUUAAAAGUUGAUAAUCCUACAACGGAAGGUUUAGCAAAUCAUUUAUCAAAGCUACAUACAUCAAUGAACAUACAAUUAAAAAAAAGUCUUUGAUUUUUUUCUAUAUUUGAGGCCACUAAAAAUUUCUUGAUAUUAACUCCAAAGUCUUGUUGUAUCCAAAAUGUCCGACUGCUAGAAAAUCAUGACGAACUUAAACGACAUGUAAUUAUACCUCACCUUCUAAAAUAUAUAGGCAAUUUUUAAAAUAUAUUAGGUUGUUUUUGAAUUAAAACUUUGAAGUAUCAUAGAAUUUAGAAGAAGUAUUUUUGAUAUCAUGAAUAAGAGAAUCAGAUGACAUAUUUGAUUAAAUUUACUUGACAAAAGUUGAAUCAACAAUCAAUGUUGAUUUUAUUGCUCAAAGAUAAAAAUACUCAAGUACCAAGAGAAUUAUUCUUUGUUGAUCAAAAGAUACAUCUUCUUUUUUUGGUGCAAGAUAAGAACAUCUAAAAAGGACAUCGGAUAGACCUUGUUGUUUUUUGAAUCAAUAAAGGAUCUUGAAAUUGAAUCUAGAUAAAGACAUGCUUCAAUGGGCUUGACAACAAUUCAAAAUACAUAUUGAUAUGAAGUAUUGGAAGUUUUUAUGAUCCAUAUAUAUAGUGAUUGGACUUGAGGUGCUUUCUAAAUAAAAAUGCUAUUCUUAAAAUGAAUCUACAAUUGCAAAGGGUAUUUUUUUAUAGAUCUCAUAAUUAAGCUUGAUUACUAAAAAAUUUCUCCAAUGAAAAGCUAGUAGGUGGAGUUUAUCAUUUGUUCCUAUUUAUGACAAUACAACAUCCAUAGCAAAGUCUGAUACAUUUGUUUCUAUAAAAAAAUGCCUUAGAAAAGUCGAUGCAAUAUAAGAUUGGUGCAAAAGUAAACUCCUUCUUUAAAACAUCAAAUGAUGCUUUUGUUUCUUUAUUCUAUUCAAGUUUUUUUUUACAAGUCAAACGUGUAAGUGAAGCUACAACUUGAGAAAAGUUCUUGAUCAAGAUUUGGUAGUAAUUAGCAAAGCCCAAAAAGCAUUGUACAUCUUGUACUGUUCUUAGAAUCUUUUAAUCUAUGAUAAUUUAGACCUUCUUAUGAUCCAUCAUAAGGUCCUCGUUGAAAAUGAUAUAUCUUAAAAAGUCAACUUGAGUAAUGUGGAAUACACACUUUUCUAACUUGGCAUAUAAUCUUGUAUCUUGGAGUUUCUAUAACACAUGUCAAAGAUGAAGUUUAUGUUUUUCUAUAUUCCUAGAAUAGAUUAGAAUGUCGUCUAAAUAAUAAAUGACAAAAUCAUCCAAAAAUUCAAAAAAAAUUCAUUUAUAAGAUGUUGAAAAGCAUCUGGUGCAUUCAUGAGUCCAAAAGGCAUGACAUUAUAUUCAAAAUGUCUAUACCUAGUUCAAAAAUCAGUCUUCCAUUCAUCUCUUUUUUUGAUACAAACUAAGUUGUAUGCUCAUUAUAGAUCUAUUUUGUUAUAGAUCUUUGCUUGAUUGAGUUGGUCAAAAAGUCUUAUAAAUCAAAGACAAAAGAUACCUAUUUUUGAUGGUGAUCUUAUUGAGUCUUUAAUAAUCCACACACAUCCAUAGAGAUCCGUCUUUCUUCUUCAUAAAUAAGAUAGGAGCCUUGGCUAGAGAUUUAGAAUAGCACAUGAACUUCUUUGCCAAGUUUUCAUCAAUAUACUCCUUUAAUGUAGCCAACUCAUUCUGCAAUACGCUAUAGAUUGAUCCAAAUGGUGGUUGAGCUUUUUCUUGCAGAUCAAUUGGACAAACAUAAGGUUGAUGCUUUAAAAAAAUAUCAGCAUUAUUUUUUUCAAAAAUUUCUUAGAAUUCUUGAUAUUAGCUAGAAAUACCACUCGAUAUUUUUUUACCAUUAGAAAUAGGUAUAGCAUAUACAACAAAAGAUGACCAUUUUUUUGCAGGAUGCAUAAAAGCUCUUGUACCUAUCAAUAAAGGUUUCAAUAUAUUAGACUUAUGUGCUUUUACUUCACUAACUCGAUCUUGGAUUAUACUACUAGAAAAGUUAAAGUUACAAGAAAUCCAAUCUAUUUGAAGGUUAUAUUUUUCUAGCCAUGAUAAUCCUAAAAUAAUCAGAUUGGAGAGAGAUCUUAUUAUAUUAAAUACUACUACGAUGUUAUGAUCUUUAAUUGCUACAUCUAAAUGAAUAGUCUUAUGUGUAACAUUUUCAAAACACAACAAAUGAUCAUUCAUGACUUCUACAAGUACAAGUUUAAUUUUCUUAACUAAAGAUAUUUUUUGAUUUUUAACAAAAUCUUCGUCUAUAAAAUAGGUUGAGGCUCCUAAAUCUAAUAAGGCAAAGACUUUGUGAUUUUUAGGUCUAAACACACAUCUAUUGUAAAAUAAGGUGAAGGGUCUGAAGAGAGAAAAAGACCUUUACUAGUUGUUGUACUUGAUUCUAGCCGCACAAUCCCUAUUGUAGUUGGGGAAACUUGUUUUUUGAUACAUUAUCUUCUUUAGUAAUUUUGCUCCUCAUUUUAUAAUUGUGUUGCUUCUUUAGACAAUAUUGAGCACUGUGCUUAGCUUCUCUAUAAUAUAAAUACAAAUCCUCUUAGCAACAUUGAGUCUUUUCUUACUCCAUGAGAAGUUUAAAAUGUAUUGUAGGAAUUUGCAUUGGUUCUACCCUUAAUGAAUAUAUUUUUGGAAAACUUGGAAGUUGCCGCCAUUACUUGACUUAUUUCUUUUCAAGCAAGUCUUUAUUUUUUAUGCCUUUCAAAUAAUUGAUUGUCACAUGCAAUGACUUGUGUAAUAAAUUAUUUCAAAGAUUUUGUUUUUGACAUUAUUAAUAACAAAUCUUUGACACUAUCCUUUAACCCAUAUCAAAAUUGAUUGAUAAGUGCUUUAUCAUUCCAGUCCAUGUCGCAAGCGAAGUUUUGGAAUUCAACAAUAUAUGUGGUUGCUAAUUGUGAUUCUUGUCAUAAAGAUGAGAGUAUGAUUUCUAUUACUCAUUCUCAAUCAAUUUCUCCAAAUGUGGCAAUAAUUACUUCUAAGAAUGAAUUUAAAUCAUAAAGAAAUCAUGAAUCUUUUUCCAUCAAAGGUGCAAACCAAGAAAGAGUACUUCUAGAUCAAAAUAUAUCUAUGAAGGUGACUUGAGUAAAUCCAUUUGUAUAUUGGAAAGGGUGUAACCUUAAGUAGAGCUUAACUAAUUAUAAAAAUCCUCAAAAUUUUGAUCUUGUUCCAUCAAACUUCUCAAGCAUACUAGUUUUUGCCUCUCUUGAGCUUGUAGAAGGAAGACCUCUCUGAAUUUGGUUGUGAGACUGAUCGACUUCUUUCCCUUAAUUACACAACUUCUUGACAUAGACUCUGGACUUCUUCCAUAGGUAUAGAAGUAGUACUCCUAUAGUUGACGUUGGUGAUGCAUGAAAUUUCUACCUUAAGAGUGUUGAUAAGCUCGUGAAGAUCCGUAAUAGUUGUAAAUCUAUUCUCACUUCUACUAAGAGUAGCAUCCAUAAUCUUUCCUUCUAUAGACAAUUCAAAAAAAUCCAAAAAAUUAAAUUAGAAGAAGGUAAUCUGCAACCUCUAAUAAAAAUUUCCACAAAGAAGAGUAAUCCACUCUCUUUAGAAAAAAAAGAUCAGUAUUAGAAAAUAAGAUUUUUUGUUCAAAAGUGGGUAGUCCGUAACCUUCAAAACACAACAAUAGAAGUGGGAUAAUCCACUUACUUUUAAAACAAACCAAAAAUAAUAUAUUAGCACUUUUGUCAAAUUAUUAAGGACAUGAAUCUCAAAGAAAGAAAAUCCUCAAUACAUUCUUAUGUCACUGGAAGGAACUAGAAAGUCAUUUAAAGAUGAUAUAAUAUUAAAUUGGAAUGGCUAUUGCCAAAAACAGAAGACUAGAAAGUCUUGAAACAAGACUAAGGACUAGAAAGGCAUUGACAAGACUGAAGAAGGCUUCACUCUUGCUUCUAUAUAUACUCUUAACUAGAAGCUACGUAGCAAUGUCCUAUAAGACCUCCAAAAUGUGUUGACUUUACUAGCAACAUGUCUUAACUUGCAAGACAAGUUAUCUAUGUAUGUCCUACAUAGUUACUUUGUUCCACAAGCUACUAACACAUGGUUAACUUGUUGGCCAAGUUUCUAAUCUACAAACACAUCUAAAGUCAAAACCACAUCUAUGAAGCUUCUAGAAAGUUAUUCUAGAAGACUUUAUAAAAUUAAUCUAUAUUUACCUUCUUCUAACUAAUUAUAUAAGUAACUAUUGGAGUAAAUGUAUAUAUCCAUGACACCUAUAUUAAAACAACUAUAUUCUUUUGUUUUUAUAAAUUUUAUCAUGGAUCUUUCAAUUUCAAAUUUAUAUGACUCUUUAUUUGUGAUAAUAGAUUGUAUCACCAAAAUAGUAUAUUUUAUACUACGUACAAAAACUAUCAUAUGUGAAGAAAUAACUAACUAUUUUUUUUGGUAAUAUUUAUUGCUAUAAUAGAUUGCCAAUGGAUAUUUUAUUAAAUAAAAUUAUUUAAUUCAUAUUAAUAUUUUUAAAAAUUCUUUUUAAAAUAUUGAAAGUAGACAUAAAAUUAUCUUUGAUUUUACAUCCUCAAAGUGAUGGAUAAACAAAAUGAAUGAAUCAAGUUUUGAAGUAGUAUUUGAGAUAUACUAUUAAUUGCCUUCAAAAUAAUUGGAUAAUUUUUUUGUUGUUAGCAAAUUUUGCAUAUAAUAAUAUGGUAUAUUUUUUUUAUUCAACAAAUGCUUUUUUAUAUUAAUUAAGAUUAUUAUUUAUAAUUUAAUACUUUUGACUCCUUAAAAUUUGAUAAUCUUAGGACAAAAGAUUUAACAAAUUAUUUAUUAGAUUUAUAUAUUAAAUUAUGGAUGAUAAUCUAUAAUUUAUAAAAGUAUAUUUAAAAGAAGCUCAAAAACAACAAAUUAUCAAUGUAGAUGCCUAUUGAAAGAAAAAACCUCAAUUUCAUGUUGGCAAUAAGCUAUGAUUUUUUUUUGUAAUAUUAAGACUAAUCAUCCUUGUAACAAGUUGGAUGAUCAUAGAUUGGAACUAUUUUUUAUUUAUAAAUAAAUCAAUUUAAUUGCUUAUUGAUUAUACUACCAAAGUUUAUAAAAAUCUAUCUUAUAUUUGAUGUAUCUCAUUUUGAAUUAUACAAAGCAAUGGAUAUACUAAGAAAUAGACAAAUGCCGCCUCCUCCUAUGGUAGUAAAUAAUAAUCAAAGAUUUGAUGAAAAAGAAGUUUUAGAUUUAAGAUUGCAUCAAAAUGAGUCAAAAUAUCUUAUACAUUGGUGCAAGUAUAAUAUUAGUGAAUGCACAUAAGAACAAACAAAAAAUCUUAUAACUACAGCAAAAAAAAGUUGAUACUUUUCAUUAAUAACAUCCAUCAAAAUUCAAAUGAAGAAUGAAAAAAAUUCUUGCUUUAAAGCAAAGAACAUUAAAUAAAGAUUAUAUUUUAUCUUUUAUCAUUUUUUGUAUUUUCUAUAUAUUUGUGGUUUUAAAGAAAUAGAGAAUCAAUAACUAAUAGAUUCAAUAUUUGAGCUAUUAUUAAUGAAUUAUUAAAUAUUGUAUUGAAAUUAUCACAAUCUUCAAAAUAAUAUAAUAAAGCUUAAGAUUCUUAAAAAUAACAUGUUUUUUUUAAAAAAAGAUGAUAACUUACAAUAUGUUAAGUAUUACAACUUUGAAAAAGACUCUUAAUAUUUGGUGACAUUAUUGGAGGUAGAAACAACCAUUAAUGAUAUUUUAAAUAUUUUAUUUAAAAGAAGUUACAAAGUUCUCAACAAUGAUUCAAUAACAUAGUGAUUUUUUUAUUAAUAUAAAAUAUUAUUAAUAAUUGAAAGGACAUAUCAGCUACCUUCAAAUAGAACAUAGAUCAAAGUAUAUAACAAAUACAAUUUGUUGCAUCUUGAAUUUCUUUAACAUAAGAUGAUUGUUCCUUGUGGAACUUGUUUUUAAAACAUAGGAAUAAUGUCAUACACAUACAUAUUUAUUUAGAUUAAAAGAAGUAGAUAGUAAAAAAAUAGAAGUAAGUAUAUUUAAAAACAUCUUCUGAAAAAGCUUCUUAGAAGCUUUAGAAAUGAAAAUUGUACUUUUUACAUAUUUAAAGAUAAUUGAUAGUUUAAAAACUUGGCUAACAAAUUUUCCACAUAUUACACAUAUUGAUAAUUUUUUAUACAAAUUGACUAUGUGGUAUUAUUGUAUUAUAACACAAUCAUAUGUAUAUAUAUAUAUAUAUAUAUAUAUAUAUAUAUACAUAUUUUAUUAUAAAAAUAUCUAAUAAAAAAAUAUAAUAUCAAAAGAUAAAUAAAUUAUUGAAAGUUAAUAAAAAUAUUUAAUAUUAAUAUUGCCUUUUUGUAAAAAAAUCUUUUAUUUACUUUAUAUUGAUAUAAAUAAAGAAAAAUAAAAUAGAUUAAAAAAACAAAAAAAAAAUAGGUAUCUUAAGGAGGGAGUCGGAAGUAGUUUGUAGCAAAAAUCAUCUUAAGAAACUAGGAAUUGAUACUUAGAGAGUAUAUAUUGUAAACCAAAAUCGAAAUGAAAACUCAAAGUACAAAAUCAUGCACCUACAUCAAUUUGAGACUCUUCUAUUAAAUAAAGAAAAAAAAUUAGAGAAUAGACUUGACUUAAAAAAAAGUUGUUUGAAUAUUGGAUUAGGAUCCUAGAUAUUUAAAUUUUAGGAUCAAUGACAGUUUUUGUGAUCUUAAGAAAUCAAUUUAUUUUAUUGAAGCAAAAGAUUGUGAAUACAUAGCAGACUUGAUUAUCUAUAAUUUUGAUAAUUUAGAAAAAAAAAUUAAAUGGUUCAAUGGAGGAUAAUUGUUACUAAAAGAUCAACAUCUAGAUUAGAAGAGAUAAAUGGCCAAUACUUAAAAGUAUUAGGAGUUCGUUUUUUCAAAUGGUAUUUUUGAUUUUCUUCAAAUUUUAUAUGCUUAUUUUUUGCUUGAAGAUUGAAUAUAUAUAUAUAUAUAUAUAUAUAUAUAUAUAUAUAUAUAUAAAUAAAAAAUAAAAAAAAUUGUUAAAAUCAAAAAUUCAAUUAGUUAUAAUUAGAAUUUCAAAAAAACUAUAAGAAUUUUAUUAUAAUUUAUUUAAGAUUUAAUUAAUUUUUUAUUAGAAUUUCGAUAGGAUUUAUUUGAAAAUUCUUUAAGAUUUUAUUAAUAUUUUUUUAAGAUUUAGAUAGUAUUUGUUUAAGAAUUCAUUAGGAGUUUUUAGGAUUUUUAGAGCUAAAUUAGAAUUUGAUUGAGAUUUAUUUAGAAUUUACUUAAUAUUUCUAUUUUUAUUAAUUAAAGGAUUUUUAUUAUUUCUUUAAUAUUUCUAUUUUUGAUAUUUUAAAAUAUUUCUUAUUAUUUUUUAAGAUUUUAUUUCUAAUAUUUCUUUAAGAUUUAUUUAUGCUUUCUAUAAGAUUUAUUUAUAAAGUUCUUUAUGAUUUUUUUAGAAAUAAUUUAGAAUUUUUUAUAUUUUUUUUAAUAAUUUCUUUAAUAUUUCUUUUGAAUUUUAUUAAAAUUUGAUUAGAAUUGUUAAAGUUUAAUUGAGAUUUAUAAAGGAUUUUAUUAGAAUUUUUAAAACCUUAUUAUUGCAAUUUCUAAUUUAUUUUCUAUAACUAAGUAUUUGGUGCAUUAUCAUGAUGUAACACAACUAAUAUGUAAAAGAGUGAAAAAAAUAUUAUAUUUUAAAAGGUCUAAUUUCAAAAUAUUGUAGCAAAUCAUCUUAGAAUUAUAGAUAAUAGUCAAAAGGUAGUAAACUAAAAGUACAAUUGAUGCUUUUUAUACAAAGUGAGCUUCUACUUACUUUUUAAGACCAUAAAUAAGGAAAAACAAAGUAGAUUAGAAAAAUAAAAGAUAUGGACACAUGUAAAGAGAAGUUAAUAAUUGAUUUUAGAAAAAAUUACCUUAAGAAGACAAAACUUGAUAUCCAAAGAGGGCUGAUUGUCAACUUGGAUUGAAAUCAAACCCUAAGACACAAAACCAUAUACCUACAGUGAUUCUAAUGUCAUUUUGCAAAUUUGAGAGUAGAAUUUGGAAGAAGACUUUAUAGGAUAUCUUGGAGCAUUAGUUUCACGUGAUUGAGUUUGUAAUGACUUUGUAAGAGCUUUACAAAGUCAUGGUUGUUUUGAUUGACUCUGGAUUUUAUGAAAUAAAAUAGGAUUUAUAAUUUGUACAAUUUUGUGAGUUUUAUUGCAAAUCUACAAGUGAAAUUUUGUGAGGUUGUGAAUAUAUUUGAGCUUUAUAUAUGUUACAAAUUUGAGCUUAAUUAAAAUAUUAAAUUAGAGGUAAUUGAAGCUCAAGUAGAUUAAGGUCUUAAAGAUUGGAUUUUUAUUUCUACUAAGAUUAUCUAAGAUUUGUAAUAAUUUGCUAGUUAGAUUGAAGUGAUUUUUAUUAGAGCUCAUAGUUGAAUUGACUUUCAAUACUUGUGCAAAAUUUGAGAACAAGUUAAUAGUUCAAUUAGCACUUAUUAUUUCUAGAAGAUCAACAUUAAGAUCAAAGAUGGAGGCUAAUUGACAUUCAAGUAGAUUAUGAUGUUUUUUUUCUAUUUUAUAAGUUUAAUUCUCUUCAAAUUUAUUAUUCUUAUUUUUAACUAAGAGAUUGAAAGAUAUGUAAAAGUUUUAAGAAAGAUCAAUGGUUUAAUCAAUAAAUAUUGAGAUUCUAAAACUAUUCUAGUAUUAAUUUAAAUUACUUAGGUUUUGGUUAGGAUUUAUUUGAAUUGAUCAGGUUUUAUUAUGAAUUUGUUUAAGGUUUAUUAGAAUUUUAUUUAUAAUUUAAGUCUAACUAGAGUUGAUUUAAAAUUUAGGAUUUUUUUAGGAUUUUUUUAGAAUUUCUAAAAGAUUUCUUUUGGAUUUUAUUAAAGAUUGUUUUUAUAUUCCUUUUGGAUUUCUUUAGGAUUUUUUUUGGAUUUCUUUGUGAAUUUCUUUUGAAUUUCAUUAUUAUUUCUUUAUGAUUUCUUUAAAAGUUAUUUGGAAUUUCUUUGUGUUUCUUUUAUAAUUUAUUUAAAAUUUUAAUUAGACUUAAUCAAUAUUUGAUUAUAUUUGCUAAGCUUUAAUUAUAAUUUAUAUAUAAUUCUAUUAGAGUUGUUAGGACUUAUUGUUGCAAAUUUCUUUUAUCUUCUAUAGCCAAGUGCCUGGCACAUUCUCAAGCAAGAAUUUACAUAAUACAACAGCGUUUUGAAAGAAUACCUUAUAUAAUAUGAAAGCACAUAUGUAGAAAAUUUGUCUUCUAAGUUAUAAAUGUGACUUGUAAGUCAAAGGUCCUAUAGAAUAUUUUCAUGUAGCUCCUAAUUAAAUAGUAUAUAUAGAGGUAAGAGUGAGGCCUUUCUUACUCUUGUCAAUGUCUUUUUAAUUCUUAGUCUUAUUUAAAGAGCCUUUAGUCUUUUUAUCUUUGACAAUAACCAUUGUAGUCUUAAUAUUAUACUAUCUUUAAGUAAAUUCUAUUAUUUUUUUGGAACAUAAGGAUAUAAUGAGGUUUUUAUGUUUGUAAUUUAUGUCUUUAAUAAAGACAACAAAUGGAGACAUAGAACAAAGAUUGAAAACCAAAAACAAGAGUUGGAAAUUAAAAAAAAUAUAUAGCAAAUAAUAGAGUAAAAAUAAGAAAUAUGAAUAGAGAGGUUAGGAACUAAGGACAUGAGAUAUGAGACAAGAAUAGAAGAUAGAUUGAAUUAAUCAAGAAAAUUCAAGAAGAUGUUGUCUUCACAACAUGGACAUAUUGCUUAAGCAACUCCUUAGAAUUUAUUACAAAAUUUAAACAAAUUUGUAAGUUUUAUUGAUUUUUUAACUUUUUCAUAAUUUCUAAUAAUAAAAUAAAUUUAAUAUUAUUAAAUAAAUUUUUUUAAUAAUUUUUUUUUAAAUAAUCAAAUAAAAUCAUUCUAUGUCAAUUAAAUUGCCNNNNNNNNNNNNNNNNNNNNNNNNNNNNNNNNNNNNNNNNNNNNNNNNNNNNNNNNNNNNNNNNNNNNNNNNNNNNNNNNNNNNNNNNNNNNNNNNNNNNUUAGAAUCUUUUAUACAGUUAUAUUUUGUUUAAUAAUUAUUUAAUAAAUUUAAUAAAUUUGAUAAAUUGAUUCUAUUUGAGAUUUUUGGUAAUAUUUAUUAAGAUUUUAAUAAAUUCUAUAUUUUAAUGCUCAAUAAUUAAUGUAAAAAUACAUCAUAGACAUCUUGUGUAAGAAUUUUAUUCUUCUACUCAAAAGAAAAUUUGAUAUCUAUAUAUAUAUUAUUUUUAUAUUACUAGAAUGAUAUCUAAUAAAAUAUUAGAUCAUAUUAUUAUAUUUACAAAUUUAUUUUUAAUAAUUCUUAUUAAAAUACUACCUCAAAAGCAUUAAAUGUAUAUUUAUUGAUAUCUUAUUUAAUUAAUUUCAUUGAAUUUGUAUUCAAAUUUUAAUUACUUAGACAUCCAAAGUCUUACCAAAAUAUCAAAUCAUUUGGAAAUAGGAGAGGGAAGAGAAAGAAUAAGUCAUUUAAUCUAUUUGAGCAAUUUUUAGGCUCUAAGUGAGAGCAAAGUCACAACUUGUCUUGCACAUGAUGUAUGUUGUUAUACAAUGCCAAAAUAACAAACAAUGGCUAUAAAUCAUGUAUAUAUGUAUGUAUCUAUUCUAACAAACACAAUCAUACAUUUUUUUUUGUUGUGACUUCAAUCAAGAAGACUAAACAAAAUCACAAACUAUAGCAAAGCAAUUGUAUUACAUACUCUAAAACAUAUUCUUAUUGGAUUGGUCCACAUGUGUUAACUGUUCAAAACUUUGUUAGUUCAUUUUGUACAGUCACAAACCCACCUUUGUAUUUUCUUAAACAAAACUUCCUUCCUUAAGAAAUUACUCUUUCUUUCACUCUUCUCCAUGUCUUUUUUUUUUCUUUUUUGGCAAAGCACUAUGUGCUACUGCCUAAUUACGGAGAAAGUUUAACGUUGGAGUGGAAGGGAACUACAUCCCCUGCUUCCCAUAUCUGGCACUAUGACUCUCAUUGUUAGUCCCAAUAUUGUCAAGAAUAGUGAUUGUUCACACGAGUUUGUUUGUUUGGGGCUUCAGUCUAGUUCCUGCAUUUUGUGGAGCAAAUUAAGCAGGUUCGGCGUCGUGGCUAUGGUUUUAAAUUACGGCAAUCCAUUGCUGCCAGUAACUCUGCACAUUGAUGAUACAGAUUUGCUUGCCAACCAUCUGAUAUUCAUUUCAGGGUUUAGAUUAAAGCCACUUCACAAUGAGAUCCAACUCUGAAGGUUUGUGUUGAAGCUGUCUUCUCAAUUAAGAAGGAAGAUCUGGAUUCGUAUAUUGUUCUCACUUGAGACAAUGGUUUCAUCACUUCCUUGGACUAAUAAAAUUUGCGUUUAAUUGUGUUUUGGUACAAAGUGCUGGAUCAGUCUCACUAAUGUCCACUCAAAUUCCACACUUGCCAAUGCGCACUUUGCCACUUUCUCCGAGCACGGUAUGAUGAUUACCACAUCAUUCUCAUGAAUAAGAAUUUACAUAGAUUUGGGUUGGUGCCCAGUUUGAAUGGUCGAAACAUCAGUUUGUGUGCUUGCCAAAUCCAAUGUCAUGGACUAGAGCCUGCCUUUGGCACUUCGUAUCACCAGUGGAGACUCUACACGGUUCAAAGUACCGACUGAUUUUCGUCACCAAAUCCAUGCACAAAAUGGCAGUUUCUGAAUACAAAAGCAUCGCCCAAGGUGGGGUGGUGUUGCUGAAAAACCUAUCAACGUUGCUGUGAAUGCUCUUUGUUGUUGCUGAAAUAGAGUGAUCGAGACGAACUAGAGUCGUCUUUAGAUAUAUAUAUAUAUAUAUAUAUAUAUCUGGAAUGAACUUUGGUAAUAAAUAAUUUAUUACAAAAUCAUUGGUGCAAUAUCUAUAUCAUUUAUCAAUAUACUCAGUUAAAAAUAAUACUUAGUUUUAAAAUUACUAUUUAUCCAUCUCAUAACUUGAAUAUAUAUAUACAUAUACAUGAAUAUGUAUGUACAUGUGAAUAUAUAUAUAUAUACAUACACACAAAUAUUAGAUUGUAUGGUUUUGUGAAUUAAUUUUAACACAUAUAUAUAUAUAUAUAUAUAUAUAUAUAUAUAUAUUACUUUAAUUAGAUCAAUUUAAAAAAUUAAGUAAUAUAGAUAGAAAAUAAUGAUUCAUAAUCAUAUUUUUUUUAAAGUCUACUAUAAUCCAUAUAUAUAUAUAUAUAUAUAUAUAUAUAUCUGUUUAUAUUUAUAUAAUUAAUAUAUUAUUACAGAAAAUUAAUUUCAAUGGUCAAUAAUUGUUUUCUUGAGGAUAAAUUAUGCAAUCAUAAGAAAAUUUAUAAAUAAAAGGUUUUUUAUUUUUUAAAUACCUUGUAAUAAAUCUAUUUUAAUUUUUAAAUACCAAUUUAAAAUAGAAAAUAUUAGGUGGACACCUCUCUUUUACUACGUGAAGAUCCCUUUUGCCUCACAUUUAUGCAUACAUAUCCUGCAAAAAAUAACUAAUUUUGAAUUUAAAUGAGGUUUUUUGUAUUUUUAUUACUGUGAUUAUUUGAUUAUUUAAAAUUAAGUAAUAUCGAUAGAAAAUAAUGAUUCAUAAACUAUUAUUAUUGUAAUCAUAAAUCAUAUUAUUAUAAUUAAUAAAUUUAUAAUUACAAUAUUUUUUUAUCCAAAAUAUUAAUUUUAAAAAGAUUUGCAAGUAAAAAAUUGAUGAUUGAGAUAAUAUAAAGCCAUAGAAUACAACUAGAUAAGAUAUAUUGAAUUUUGUAUUAAAAUAGUAAAUAUAACAAGAACCAUGACCUAAAAUAAAAACUAGUUGUUGCUUGUGGAAAUGCAUGAUACAAGAGAUGUCGACCCAAUAAAAAGGAGAUGUCUACCUAACACUUCUCUUAAAAAAUUAGCUGAAAUAAAAACUUUGUAUUACAUAAAUAACAAACAAGUUUUUCAUGCAACUUCUACUAAAUAUCUUUUUUCUAAAAACUAUAAUUCUAAUCACUUCAAAUUUAAAAUCUAAUUUUUAUUUUAUUUUCAAACUAAUUAAUAAAAUAUUUGUAGUUAAAAAAUCUCUAAUCCAUCUAUGAAUCACACUUUUUUAGCCACAAUAAAUCUAAAGUGGAAAAAUUAGUUAGAAAUUUAAGAAAAUGAUUAUUAUUAUAUAUUUAUUAUCAUAUCAAAUUACUUUCAUUGAAAUGGUUUUUAAAAAAAAUAUCUAAAAUAUUUUUUAUAAAGAAUUAAAUAGAGAUGAGUACAAAGACAUUUGAUGGAAGUUACCUUUCUAAAGAAAUAUCAAAGAAGCCUCUUAAACAUUAUUAGAUCUAGUAGCAUGCCAUGUAACUUUAAAAACAAAUUUUUUCUUAAGAAAUUAUUUAAGAAGUGUCUAAAAACUUAGAUACUUGGUUUAUAAGUCUCAAAGUCUUAGAAAGCUUUUAUGUGAUCUUUUUAUUGGUCAUUAUAUAUAAAAUGCAAGAAUAAAUUUAUCUUUAAUCUUAUGACUGGUCUUCAUAUAAGAAUAAUAAUUUAUUCUAACUUAGCAAAGUUAUUGAAUAUUUUUCUACUAAAUAAUAUACUUAUUUUUAGUCAUUUCUAUAUCUUCUUAGUUGUGUAUAAAUAUAUUGCCUUUUUACAAGUUUAUCUUGAUUCAUGUCCAUGAUAUUUUAAUAAGACUAAAAAUAUAAUUUUAAUUUUAAUUUUUUUAUAAAUAUAAAACUACUUAUUUUCUUUAGAAACAUCAAAUUUUUCUUUAAAUUUUAGAUUAAUCUUCUUUAUAUUAAUAUCCUUGUAUUUUUAUUUUUUUCUUCUUAUUUUUAUUUUAUUAUUAAAAUUAAUAUUUUUUUAGUUUUUUAUUAAUUAAUAAAAAAAGAUAAUUCUAUUGUAUAAAAACUAAAAAUUAAAAAUAAUCAAUGUAUGCAAUUCAUCAAAUUUGCUCACUACCACAAGUUUUUAAUGUUUAGAGUAAUUUUUUAUUAGAUUAAAUAAAAAAUGACAACAAUUCCAUUUGUAGUUAUUUACUUUGAGUAUUUUUUACUUAUUUUUAAUUAUUAUAGAAACGUAACAACGUCUAUUGACGAAAUGAUUAAUUUUUUAUAUAAUAUUUUAAUAAUAUAAAUAUCAAAUAUUAUAAAUAUAUCAAUUACAUACACAUAUUAAUUAAACUCUAAGUAGAAAACUAUUCAACUUCAAUAUCUUUAGUAAAAUUCAUUAAAAUAUUAUUCAAUAAAAACUAAACUUAUCAAAGUUAAUAAAUAAAUAUCAAAGUUAAUUUUAAUAUAUUAUAUUAUAUUAGAUAAUAUUAUUUUAAUAAAUAAAUAAAUAUCAAAGUUUAAAUAAUUAUAUUAAAUAAUAAUUAAUAAAUAAAUAAAUAAUAAUAAUAAUAAUAAUAAUAAUAUCAACAAAACUUCAAAACAAAUUCCUCGACUACUUUAAAGACCAAAAAAUUGUUUAUCAUGCAGUACUAUCUUAUCAAAAUUGCAUAUUGUACUCUAAUUCUUUUCUUAUCUUUUAUAAUACAAGUUUGUUUAGAAUAUAUAUAAAAAAAAAAAAAAAAAAAAAAAAAAAAAAAAAACCAUAUAUUUUUGCAUUCUUUUAUAAGAUUUUAUAUAUUUUUUUAAUUGCUCAAUUUUUUUUUUUAAUAUUUCAUGAUAUCUGAAUAUAAUGUAAACAUUUUUUUUGAAUAUUGUCUUUAAAUUUGUUUUACUAACCUUCAAGAAGAAGUUCAAUGCCAUUUGGACCAAUUUACAACUUAUGACAAAAAAUAGCUACCUUCAAGAAAUAUAUUAAUAAAAUUAAUUACUUAAUAUUAAAAUUUAUAUGUAGGUACAUCAAUUUUUUGUUGUAAAAAAAAAACAAAAAACAAAACAAAAAACAAAAAAAAAACAAAACAAAACAAAAACAAACAAAGAAACAAAUCUUUACAAAUGCUUAGUUAACUAUCAAAAAUUCUGAUUUUUUUACAUUUGAAUUUUAACUCCUCAAAUAAUUAAACUUGUCGACUAAUUGUCCCCAGAUACGAUUUAUAUUUAAAUACAUAUGUAAGAAUAAUAUAAUCUAAUACAAAUUAAUAAAAGAAAUAAAUAAAUGGCUACAUUUUAAAAUAGUCGUAACAAUUUCAAUACAGUUUUUUACUGUUUAUUCUUACAAAUGCUGGGAUUUCUUUUUAAAUGUUCGUGAAUGUUAUAAUUAUCAAUUUAUAGCUAAUCCUAUUGUUUUUUAUUUAUAAAUUAUUCUUUAAUUUUCUAAGAAUAUAAUAGAACACAGAAAAUAUGUUUAUAAUGUAUUAUAAAUAUUUAAUGAUGGAAGGUUAUAUUGUAAGAUAGGAAAUUAUAAAAUUCAUACAAUUUUAAUAGAAUUUUUAGAAUAUAUUAUUUCAAAUGAUAAUUUAAAGAUAUGCCAUAAGAAAGUAGUAAUUACCAUAGAUUAUAAUUAUAUAAAGGUUUUGUAAGAUUAUUCUACCAGUUCAAGCAUUGGACUUGACACAUUAGAAUUUAUUUAUAAAAUUCAACUAUAGAGAAUCCUGGUGCUAUGUUGUGGUUAUAAAUAUUAUGGAUCUGUGAACUGAUAUAUGCAAAGACCAUAAGGAUUGUUCUGGAACCAUAUCAUAAAUUCAUUACAUAAUUUAAUAAAUCCUAUAACCUUCAUAUGCACUUUUAGAGUUUAGUGUAAGAUUCAUUCUAAAAAGUUUUGCUUUACCAUUAAAUUAAAGAAAUUAUAUUGUAAUAUAUUUAUUUUUCAUAUUUAUUUUAUGUUGUAAUGAAUUAAUAAAUUCUUUCUUUAACAAAUUUAAUUAAAAAAAAGAUAAAAUAUUAUAACUUGUAUUAGUUCAGUCAAUAAAAUUUAUUAAAUACUAUUGAUUAUAUUGAUUAAAGUUAUACAAGUUUUAAGAUUUUUAUCUUUUUUGUUAAUAGAUUAUAAAAAAUCUAUCUAAAUCUCUUUUUUUAAUAUUUUUAUUAAUUAGACGUUUAUACAUGUAUUUUAUUAUUGUUAUUAUUAUUAUUAUUAUAUGUAACAACUUAUAAGAAAAUCAAGCAUCUCUAAAAUCUCUAGAUACUUUGACAUUUUUUCAUUUUUUUGUCAUUUUCUUUUUAAUGAUUUGUAAUUGUUGCUCACACCUCCAAAUGAAAUAUUUUUUAGCAUUAUACAAUUUGAAAUAAAUAUCCGAAAAAAAAGUAAAGAAUAAAAAGUAAAAAAUUGUAAAAGAAUAACAUGAAAAUAAGAUAUAUGAAUAUAUAGAUGUAAAAUAAUAUUAUACUUGAGUACUUAAACAAAUAUAAUCUUUUACAAAUACCAAAAUCACUCUUAGGAAUUUGUUGCAUUUUUUAAAUGUAUUUUUAGCAAUAAUUGAUUGACCUAAUCACAUAUAUUUAAGUAAAAUAAUCUUUGGAAUUUUUAGAAUGAAUAAUUAGUUAAUUAAUUAAUCAUGCAAAUUUAUUUUUUUUGUUUUUAAAUAAUUACUCUUAAUAUUUACAUUGACUUCUUAGUAUUAUAGAAUCAUUUUUAAGGAUAUAUAUAUAUAUAUAUAUAUAUAUAUAUUUAAUUUAUAUAUUGAUGCUUGUAAAAAAUUAAAAUGAUACAAGUAUAAAGUUAAAUAUCUAAUUACAUUAAAUGAAUUCAUUAAAAAUGAUUACUGGAUAAAACAAUCCUUGUACUAAUUAUACAUGUUAUCGAAAAUUUAUUUUGCAUUAUGUCUACAAUGUUUUAGAAUUAGAAGACAUUAAAUAUUAAACAAAAUUCGUAGAUUUUUUUGUUAGAAAAGAUAGAAGUGGCUUCUCAAAUAUCAACUUUAAAACUCUAAGUAAAAACCUUCUGCACCUCACUAGAUUUUUUAAUAAUAUUUCAGUACUUAUAAUUUUGAAGUCUUUAUUUUUAUUUUGCACAUUCUUAGAUAAUUAUUGUUAUGAGAUAAUUUCCUUAAGUAGCUUAAGCAAGUGCAGUUUUUAGAAGUAUUAAAAAAAUUAUAUAAUAUAAAAAUUAUAUAUAUAUAUAUAUAUAUAGAUAUAUAUUGAAACCUUAAAAAAAGUAGAAAAAAAAAUCAGUUCCAGUUUUUUAAUAUUUCAAAUAGAAGAAAAAGUUAGUCUAAUUUUAAGUUUUAUCAAUCUAUUUUUUAAAACUUAAAUAUUACAUACUUUGGUGCCAUUCUGCCUAUUUAUAGAUAAAAUUAUCUAAAUUGAUAUCUAAGAUGGGUAAUCUUUGCUGCUUCUUUAUUUUAUCCUCUUUGUAAGAAAUUAUCCAUACAAAUUUAAGAUAUCAAAUUGUAUCUUUGAUAUUUAAUUACACAUUACAAAAUUGAUCUUUUCUAAUUUUUCAAUCUUCGAUAAUAUGCUCAAACAGGUUUAUUUUCUCUCUCUCUCUCUCUGAAGUUACAGUAUUGGAGAUGUAGCCUAUUCGUAUACAAUUUUGCAAAUUGAUGCAACACUUAAUAAUAGUGAGUAAAAAAUAAUAAUAAAUAAAAAACCAUUUUAAAAAAAAACUAUAAUUUCAUAAUAAAAUUUUGUUUUUUUUUAACUCCUAUUUAUUUAUUUUAAAACUUUACAAUGUAUCUCAUUUGAAUUCGAAAUAUAUCAAUUCAACCUAAUAAACAUCAGCAUUAUUAUUUUAAACUUAAAUGCAAAUAUUAUAAUGUAAGCCACAUAAAACCUAUAUUUUUUUUUUAAUAUAUUUUUUUAGAUUUUAUUAAGAAUACUUAAAAUUACGAUUUUUAUUUUUAUUUUUUAAAUUACAAUAUAUUCAGUAUUGUAACAUUGUUCAGAUUUUCUAAAACUAAUAACAUAUGACAGCUCAAUAACUCACAUGCUUACAUCAAGUAAAUGCAAUUCAACACUAUAGCCAAAUACAACAAUAUAUACAUUUAGAUUUACUUUUGGAUGUUGCUAAUGCCACUACACUUUUUGUUAUUGCCACCGCAACUUGCCACCCCCUUGACAUAUUUCUUUUGCUUCAUUUAUUUAUUUAUUUCAAUUAAGUAUAUAUAUAUAUAUCAUUUGUUUGCCCAACAAAUGCCACACCAUGCCUUCAAUCCCCCACAUCAAUACAUCACUGAAAUGAAAACUAGGAAUAGGGGGAUUGGGAUGAGAACUAGGAUUGGGUCAAUUUAGUAAAUGAGUGGAUCAUUUUAACAUUCCUUUAUAUAUUUAUAUUUACAGCCAAAAUAAAAAAUAAAUAAAACAGUAAAAAAAUUAACUAAAAUCUGAAUAAAAUUUUCAUAAAAUUGUGGUGGCAUUAGCAAUACCAUUAUUCCAUACUCUGAACAAACCAUCGAAAAUCUUCGAGAGACGUUGGACGCAAUCCCUCACCAACGGAAAGUGUACCCUCUUCCUAGAUACAGAAGCACCGUAAGCGAGCUCUGGUUCGCAGCGCCUCUCACGAAACCCUAAUUCCGGAAUGGCCUCGGUUGCUGCCAUCGCAAUGGUGAGCCUUCGCGGAGAAAAUCAAUGACGCGCAGUUCGGUGUCGAUUGCCGCAGAUUUUCACCCACAUUGGCAAGCAAUCUUUGCGUGGGUUCUUGUCAGUGAUCGCACCAACUGGAGCUGCCUGGCGUUGCAGGUUUUGGGAAGAUUGAUUGCGUCUCCCUGUGCUGAGGUAUAGUCGGGAUUGGGAGACGAGAGUGAAAAGCUCGAGCCACCGUCCGGAUUGGGUUUUUUUUGCAUUGCAGCCUUGGGCGAGCAAUCAUGGCGGAGGAAGACGAUAUGCCCCGCGAUGCUAAGACGGUGAAGACCAUCUUGGAAUCCAUGGGCGUGACGCGCUUUGAGCCGCGGGUCAUCAACCAAUUUCUGGAUUUGUGGUACCGCUACGUCGUGGACGUGCUUGGCGAUGCGCAGACGUACGCCGAGCAUGCGGGGAAGGCCGCCAUCGAUUGUGACGACGUGAAGCUGGCUAUCCAGUCGCGAGUGAAUUCCUCGUUUCAGCAGCCUCCUCCUCGGGAGGUAUGGUUAUGGUUUUUGGCAUGGUCGAGUCUGUUGCUUUUUCUAUGAUGCGAAGUGUGUUCCAGGUUUAGGGGAAGGAUGGUGGGUACGGACUAAGUCAUUUCCUUGUGAGCUUCAAUUUGGCAGGACCAGUUCUGCAAAUUGGGUUGGGGUUGGCAUUGUAGGCGACGGAGAAGAGGGUUUGAAGAUUUUAAUUUUGCCAGAAUCCUUUGCUAUUGAAGUAUAGUUUGCAUUUGUCUUGAAUUAAGUCACUCCUUACGCAAAGAAAACUUAGCUCGUUCGUGAGGGCUGCUGCACAGGAGUGGACUUACUGAACGGUUCGUUAUAAAUGAGAGCAGAAUUAGGGUUUCGGAUGGUUUAGCUGGUGUCUAAUGGAAGGAAAAAAAUUGCGCCGUAGUGAUGGCUUCAUAUUAACCACCGAGCACGCCAUGGCUGUCUGUUCUGGCAGUUGUUGGUGGACUUAGCGAAAGCCCGGAACAGUAUUCCUCUGCCGAAGAUCAUAGGCACGCACGGCAUUUCUCUUCCUCCUGAAGCAGAUACCCUAAUUUAUCCGAAUUACCAGCUGAACGUACCGACACGAACGACUUUUCGCGAUAUGGACGAUGACAUUGAAUGGGAAGACGAUGACGACAAGGAGGAUGGUGGAAAGGAGGUGGUCCAACCCACCCACUUACAGGAUAGUGGCCGAAAGGUGUCCUUCUCCAUUACGGGGAAAGAUUCUAAGCCGUAGCGGUGUGCUUUACUUCACAAGGCAUUUAUAGCUCUUGUAUGAAGAAAUUGCAGGAUAAAAAUGUCUGGAAUAGGAGUUGGCAACCAGCUCUCGAUGGCUCCGAUUUUAGCAUAGAUGAGCAGCUUUCUAGGACUGGUUGAAACUUGUAGAUAGCAACUAUCCAGCAGCUUUAUUUUGGGUGGGAUAUCUUCGGACAUAGUUAAGAGCUGGUGUAUAUUUUCAUUUUAGAACUAAGGCUCAUUCAGUGUGAUGUUGGAAGCGUUACUGGUAUUAUAAUACAAGCACAAUUAGUGCUUGUUCAUGUACUUUACUAUUGCGUUGAUGGGGUCCAAUGUGUAUCAAGUUGAAGAAGUGGAGUCUAUCAAGAGCAGGGAUUUAUGUUGUACUAAUCCUUCCAUGAUUCCAAACCCUGCUUGGAAAUGAUUGUUUUCGAAAAAUUUGACGCAAGUGAGUUUGAUAGGUAGCGAUGUGUGGCUAUGUCUAUAUUGUUUUUAGUGGCGUGAAACACCCGCGUGCUGCAGUUUCAUAGACGUAGCCCUCUUUGUAAAUAGUUCCCCCAACUAUUUUCACGUUCAUUUACGUGAGUCGGAUCAUGUGUUCCGACUGCGGAAAGUGUAGAGUUUAGGAAAGAUCAGUCGGGUUCUCAAUAAAAAAAAUUUUAAAAAAGUACUAAAGUGAGUCAAAAAAAGAGUAAUCUUUGGUAUACUGAUGGGAACAGUUUCCGUCUAUGUGGACAGACUACUCUGGAGUUUUGGCUGAGUGGAAGCUUGGCAUCGAUGGAGGAGGGUAUUACGUCACAGGCUUCUCAUCGGGACUGAGGAUUCUUCAAAGCUUGCCAGGAGAAGGUAGGGUUGCAAUCCUACAUGCUUAUCCAAGCUAAAGAAUAACACGAUUGACCGAAAUGCAAAGUUCGUAUGGAUUUUUUCUUGGAUAUUUUGUGAAUUGUCGUGUCUAAACGGGAAUUGCUUGAGUGGAUUCGUUUUUUUUUUGUAUAUGACUAAACUGUAAUGGUUAUUUAUUAGAGAAAUUCAAUGGUUAUUUAAUAGAUAUUCAAUGACAAUACUGACAACAUUUGGUUGAAAUGGACUUUAUAAACAUUCUUUUAAAAAAUACCUGUCGUGUAAUGUCCUGAAUUUUGCAAUUGCAUGAUGAAAAUAGACAAGAAGAAGAGUAAUGCAUGGCAAUAUAAAUCUAAGUAAUAAUAUAUGUUUACAUACAGACAUUAAUAAUAUAUAUAUUGGUGUUAAGUUUUAGAUUAUAAGGUGGUGAAGACUUCAAGUCACAAAGACUCUUUCAUAAAUCUAAAACAACAAUAAUAUAAUGUAAUCAAAGAAAUAAAUAAGUUCUUAAUAACUUCACAAUAAGCAGAUGUCAACAAAGUGCCCAAUUGCACUAGUUUUAAGGUUAAGACAAUCAUGAUAAAAUAAUUGAAUUAGUUGUAAGGCAUUUUAAGACAUCAUUGAGCAGACUUUAGAAAGAAAGAUCAUUACACAAGAAAGAGAAUCACUAUUUUACUUCCAUAAUUUAAUAAAGAUACAAAAAGAAUGUUGGAUUUCUGUGGUUAGUAUUUAAGUUUUAUAAUUAGUACUAUAUAUAUAUAUAUAUAUAUAUAUGAUCAACAGAUUUAUAUAAAAGUGCUUUGUUGAUUAAAUUUGUAACAAAUUCUGCAAGCAGAUGAUUGAAAAUUCUGUGUACAUCAUAAAUCAAGCUAACUGAUGAAAUUGAAUGAUUAUAGUCUUGUCAUAUGUUAGAAAACGCAUGAACUUAAAGUGUUAAUUGAAUAUUGAAUUUGCACAAAAAUGGAAUAAAUACAUUUCGAUGAUGUACAACAAAUUCCUAAGUUUAAAAGCAUAAUUAAUGAAAGUAGUGACAUUCAAAUUUAUUCUUAAUAUUUUUGGACUUUAUCUAAAUAAAAUUGUACUUUUAUUUUUAUAACUAUAUAAAUUUGAUAUCAAAUUGAUAUUCUAUUCUUCUAAAGUGUGUGUGUAUAUAUAUAUAUAUAUAUAUAUGAAUAAGGUGUAUAUAAAUAUAUGGGAUAAUUUUCUAAUUAUUAUCAAUGCAACAACUCUAAAAACAGAUUACAUAAUUAUCAAUAAAAAACAACCUUUAAAUUUAUAAAUUUACCUUACAGUAAGAGUCAUGUGACAUUCAAUCCAUCUGGUUUUGUAAAAACACAAAAGUAAUAGAUAUAAAAUCAGGACAUUGAAUUAUGUGCUGCAACAUUUACAUCAACAUGCUAUAAACAACAGUCAAACAAAAGAACAUUGACCAUUGAGCUAACAUUGUGCAUUUAAAAUGAUAUAGCGAAACUAAGUAGAUGAUCAGAUUAACUCAUUUAAAAUUUUGUAAUACCCUUAAUAUAUCCUAACAAUGAAACCUUGCACUUGUCAUUUUCAAUAUACACAAAUAAGAAAAGAAAAAGGAAAAGUAACAACCAAAAUGCUUUUCAAACGAAGGACCACCAUCCUACAAACAUGACCUAAAAGCGCAUUACACACAUGUUGCCCCAAAGACUUUUGAAGAAAAAAAAAAAAAAAAAAAAAAAAAAAACCUCUUCGGAAACGAUAAUAAUAAUAAUAAUAAUAACAAUAGUUAAUCUCACAGACCCCAGAAACAGCGUUGCAGAUGCAUCAUGUAGCGAACAUGCCGUUUCUAUCGCCCCCAGUGACAUGGCAUCCUCAAUGAUGACGCCACCAGUGCCGCUAAAGCUACACCCCAAUUAGGUCAUUGAUCAGUCAUCAUGCCACAUCAGCAUUGCAGAAUCUAAAUUUACCAGGGUCAAACACACGUUGCACUGCAGAAUGAAUGGCAGAGAUGCGGAAUUAUGGGUUUCAGCAGCAUCGCUGAAAUCCAGCCAGGAAUGAAUGGUAUCCUCAAAAGAUUGCUGGUUUGCAUUGGAGGGAGGGGGAAAAGCACAGCACCAUGAUUCACUGGACAUGGUUUGUCAGGGCCAUGGAAUUGUUACUACACUACAUGAAGAUUUGAAAACCUGAAGAUUUGCAAACAUGAAGAUUUAAAAACAUGGACAUUUUCAAACUUGAAGAUUUGCAAACAUGAAGAUUUGAAAACAUGGAGAUUUGAAAAAAUGAAGAUUUGCAAACCUGAAGAUUUGCAAACAUGAAGAUUUGAAAACAUGGAGAUUUGAAAACAUGAAGAAUUUCAAACAUAAAGAUUUGCAAACAUGAAGAUUUGCAAACAUGAAGACUUACUUCAUGUUACUAAGCAGCGUUGCAUUCUCUACACUACUACUACUCCUCUGCUUAUCAAUUGCAAGCCCCGUUGCCAGAAGAAGAGAGUAAGAGAAAGAGAUUCAUUGGGGGGUGAACCAGCAAGCACUGCUCGUAGCUCCCCUAUCCUGCCAUGUGAGUUCACUACUCGCGGUGCCUCACCACAACGGGGCUCUGGAAUAUGCCGGGCGGGAUAGCGGGCGGAUUCCACAGGAGAACCGGGUGGAAUCAUUGUCAACAUCAACAUCAAAACAGCACCAGUAGCAGCCAUGGCUGCUGAGAGACCUCGCUCGCUGCGCUUCACUUCACCCGGGGCUGCGUUCAGACGAGGAGGAGGAGGAGGAGGAGGGGGAGCAGUGGUGAGCCGAGCUGCGCAGCGCCGAGGGAAGGGAAGGAGAGGGAAGUGGUAGUAGAGGGAGCACGGGGAGCGCGAGGGAUGGGUGGGGGCGGAGGAGGAUCCACGAUCCUCGACGAUCGUCGACGAUCGUCGGAGCCAGCCACCCACCCACCCACCCAGGAGCAUGCGCCGCGCCAAGUGGCGCCGCAGCAGUUGCAACACCCGCAGCGACGGUGGGUCGGAUCCCGCGCUCUCUCUCUCUCGCUCUCUCCGUCUUCCUUCUCCACGCUCUCCCCCUUCAUAACCAACACCACCUCCAUUGCCGAAGGUUCUCUCGUCGGUUUCUCUCUCUCUCUCUCUCUCUCGCAUCCCCGUUUUACAUAUUUUCCUGCAGUGAGAGUCGCUUACCCAUUCCUACGCACGCGUGCAAGCACGCGCGUGCCCGCUCUUCGUUUCUGUCAGUCUGUCUGUCUGUCUGUCUGUGUCCCCGUUUCUCUAUCUCUCCAUCUGUGUGCGUGUGUGAGUGUGUGCGAGUAAGGUUCCCAUUCAUCGUGGGACUGUGUAUGCAUGCUUUGCUUGUUCUUGGCAGCACAGCGGUUCCAAGGAAGGGCGAGAGUGCACCGGUUUCUUGGAGGUUGGGUGGAGGGUGGAGUGGAGGGAAUUGGGAGCAGGUCGGGACGACAAGAGCGUGGUGGGGGAGGUCGAGGCGCAGAGGUGGUGGUGCUGAGGCGUACCGACAAUGGCAGCGCCAGCGGAGUCCGCGUAUGGGUUGGGAGGCAAUGAGCAGCUGAAAACCGCGAGCAUCGACGAGGUCGUUCGGCAAGGACCCAAAGUUGUGACGGGGUUGUCGGCGGAGGAGGGCGUGGGAGUGGACGGGCAGAAUGGGAGCGAGGCGGGCCCGGAAGGCAAAGAGGGCGAGGCCCAUGGCGAGGAGCAAGUAGCGAAGAAGCCGAGACUGGAGAAGGAGGAGAACGGUGGCACAGAAGAGUCUGUGGAAGGUGUGGCGGCCAAGGAGGACGCGGAACACCACAACGGCAACGGCGUGGCGAAGGCGGAGGAGAGGAACGGCGAGGGAGACGAGGAGGAGCAGAACGACGACGAGGGCGACGUGGUGGGUGCGGAAGAGGAGGAGGAGGAGGAGGAAGGCACGGACGGUGCAGGAGCGACCGGGAAGGAGGAGGGUGGGGACGGGGGUCUUCGGACGCUGCUGCAAGAGGGCGAAGGCAAGAAGAGCAGCGUGGCGAAGAAGGGCGCGGACGCGAGUCACGUGUUGAACGGAGCGUAGGCGGAAGUGGAGUGGAGGGGUGGUUGGAUUUUGUGCAUCAUCGUCGGGGGUUUUUUUUUUUUUUUUUCUUUUGAUGUAAAGAGACAUUUGUGUGAAGGGGGCAUCGGGCCAGCAGUAGUGGCUAUUUUCGAAGAUGAGUGCAGUAGGUCCUUCUUGUAUAACACGGGACGUCCCAUGAAUGAAUCAAUGUGUUCGUUGCCUACCGAUUGCACCCAAGUCUGGCAUGUACAAUUGUGUUGCACCGAUGUUGGGACUGAACAUGCAUCUAUGUCUUUUAUUCUGCAGUUGGUAUGGUGGUGACAUGCCUUCUCUCUUCGCUUACCGUCAGCUCCCAGAUUUGACUUGAGGCGAAAAGAAGCUCUGUUGACGUCCGAUCGUCAGCACGAUGGCGAGUUCUUCGGAGUCCUGUGAUCCUAACGUUAUCGAGUCCCCUUAUCUAGGAUCGCUUCAUUGUAUCAAGUUGAAGGUUAUGAUAGACAUUAUGUCAGUGACUUUUUUGUAGUGUUGUCAUGUCUUCUGUUUGAACUAACGCCCCGGUUGCGUGUCCCUCUUACAUAUGAUGAUUUGACUGUAGCGAUUUUCCGGGGAGUUUGAUGGAACUGUCAUACCGGCUUGUCAUGGGGGCGUAUAUCUUAUAAAAGUUACCUUAGUUAGCCUUCCAAAGUGAAUUUUUUGGGUUCCAGAAUUUUUAUUCUCGUUCCCCUAUUUACCUCACUCUCGGUACAAGUUCACCUCUUUAUUUUCUUUUUUACUCCUCAAAGGAAAUGGCAAUAUUCUUCCACAAGUGGACAGAGAAAGGUUUUGCUGAACACUAGAUAAUAGAUUCCCGAAUUUAUUACGCGUUCUCGGGGUCAAAUUAUCUUCAGGAUACUUUUGCGCGUAAACUUUUUGCACCGAUUUCAGUUUUAAUGGCCUUAAUAUUAGCGUGUUCUUUCUUAGUGUAUGUGUAUGAAUGGCAAGCUGACUGCAUCGGUUGGCCUACGUGGAAGCUGGGGAGCAGAAUCUUUUGGUUGAAGAACACACCAAUUUAGUGUUCCGUGUUUCGCGUGUUGAAUAUAAUUCAAUACUCGAGCUUCCCGUCGUUACGGCGGAAUUUGGAUGGCGUCAACUAAAUCUUGUUCGGUUUUCUACACUACUAUCUUUGUCUUUCUUGAUGGCUUCCAUGUACUUCUUUGGCACUUUCAUUCAUGUUAUCCUUCGCUUGACUCUAUUUAAAUAAGUCACUUGACCUUUGGGUAGUCACUGGUGGGGACCCCGUGUCUCAUUCGCUCGCAUUUCCUGUGUGUGUGCCAAAGAUUGGUCUACGAGUGGCACAGUGCGAAUUUGCUCGUUGUGCGACUCAUCAGCAUUUUUGGUGUUCAGAUACACGAUAUUAAUUUAGAGCUACGAAGCGACACUGUAGCUUUUUAGUUCUCUUUUGUCGUCAGUAUGCUUAAUCAUGGCAUUACUCGUCCAUAUCAACUUACCAGCUCGACUGAAGGCACUUCCACUGAAGGUUUCAAACGGGAGCAGCGUAAAAUCAUCAGGAAAAAGUUUUAACGCUUAUUUUUAGCAUGUCCCGAUUUUUACCUUGCAUGAGAGUGGCAUGUUCAGGAGGAUAAUGAUUGGCAAUCUCCGACACGAACUUAGAGACAAAGAUAAAGAAAUAAUAAUAAAGGAAAAAAGAAGAAGGUGACAGGCCACUUUCCGAUCAUGUCCUGAUUUAGUGUUGAUGAUUGUGCACUACGUCGUGUGAUGGAACCAGUGAAGAAAUGACUCUACGUUGUGGGAUGUGGACAUGUGCUAGUCCGGAUUCGAGUAAUUUAGUGUACUUGCUUUUGUUGUUGACACAUGUGUCGCAUGGGCAAGAUCUGCUGCGCUUGACUCACACUUUGGGAUCUGAGGAGCACAUAAACUAUUGGGUACCCCCAUAAAUAUUACACUGACCAACGUGGGAGAUACAAUUGCUGGGUAUCAUUACAAUUGUUGCGGACCACCAUCUGUCCACAGUUGCUCGUUUACUGGUUUUGCAGAACAGUUACUAGCUUCAUUAUCCAGGGCGUGACUAAAACAAACUUACAAAAAUAAAUUUCUCACGUCUUAGUGCAGGAUUUGUGCGGUAAAUAGUUAGUCACUCAUGUCCCUUCACCGGAUUCGCCUUGUCUGCAAUAUAUUACCCCGUUUUUUUUAUUCCAUUUUUAAAACCGAGUUGCUGGAGUUAUCCAGUUUGCUUGAGAAGUAUUCAUUCGAAGUGGGGAAUCGGAUUAGAAUGAGGAUUUUAAUGAGGUGUACACAAAUUGGUUCAAACUAAAUUAUGGUACAGUUUGAGUUGUCGGUUGAAGCCUUUGUUCCUUUGUCUUUUUUCAUAGUAUUUUCAAACUUUGAUUCUUGAAAGCGGAAAGGUUUUUUUUGUAAGAAAUUCUUUAAUUAAAUUUCGUGUUCUUUCUUAAAUCUCCAGUCUUUCUUUCCCUAAUAAUAACAAGCAUUUAGUACUCUUCUUGAUGUGCAAGUGUUUAAAACAAAAGUUUGUGGUAAUUUUUCGGGGUGGGGUGGGGGGUGAGAUGAUGAUGACAAAUCCAAAAGUUUGAAUCACUUCAUACUUGGGAGAUUGUUUUUGAUGCCCAAUAAAUAUUGUUGGAAAUUUGUCCUAAUUCAACGUUGAUUUUAUAAUGCCAAAUUUUCGAUUUAAAUGUUUUUUAAAAUGUGUUACCUUAGAUCAUCUGCUCAAUGCUUAAGAAUGUUCCCAAACCAGCUUUUCUGAUUCUUUUUAAAGUAUUCGUUUUCUAUACUCUAAAUUGGGAGAGUAAGGUAUUUGCAAAAAUUCAUGCUUUUGUGUCGGAUGCAUAUUUUUAUUGUUUUCCACUUGUUUUAGUCCAUUUUUUCAAGAAGGUUAUGUCCCUGUGAAUUUUUUACAGAUUCACUUAAGUAUUUGGCUUUCAUUUAUUAUUCCUUUAGGAAUGCAGUAUUACUUCUUUGGACCUUAUUAAAAAGAAUUCAGGUAUAACAUUGGAUCCAUAUCCAUGGAAUAAUUUUAGGAUUUUGAUAGUGCAAUCGUAAAUCAAGUUACUUUUCCAUGGUUUGACUUGAAUUUUACAAAUUGUUAAUUUUUGCAGUCAUCCUUUUGCUUCAUCUCAAUUUAUUGUAUCAUUUUUUCAACAUAUUUGAAAUAGCUUUAGCUCAAUAUUCUUAUUUGUAUUAAUACAGAAGCUUCACAGAAUCAAUUUAGUAGUCAUUCACAAUCUAGUGCCUUUGUUUAAACUAGGUGUUUUCAAAUAAAUAAAUACAAAACAAAAAAAAAAAAACACACACACACACACACAACUCAAAUCAAUACAAGACUAUUUGUAUAUCCCAUAUUUACAAUGAAGAAACAUCUCGCCAGACCAAAUGUGGACAACCACUGUUGUGGAUUGCCCCAAUUCAUCAGCAAUGGGGGUAUGUUUUUGUGUUUCAAGUCUUGUAUCCAAAGAGAAAGCCACAACAAAAUUGUCUACAUAAUGAAACAAGUGCACACAAAUGGUUUUCUCUUUUUUCUUUUUUGGCACAAGUGAAAAUAAAUUUCAUUGUAGGGAGUAACCAAUAUAGAACUGGUUUAGAAUAGAAUUAAAAAAAUCCUAGACCAGCUGACUUGGACUAAUGACUAGAAAUAAAAGUAGUAAUACAACCCUUGAACUAGGGUAGAUAAGUUAACUUAGAUGCUGAGAACUAUUGAGAUCAUUAAAUGUAGCUGACACUCUCCACAAUAUUUAAUGUAGACUACAGUAAAUACCAUAGCUAUAGUAUUUAGAGUCUAGUGGAGAAGUAUUGUUUAUCCUCUCCUCUUUUCUCUUCUUGUAUACGAGACACAACUAGAUCAAUAGAUUUUGAGUGUGUGAAGCUCUCUCUCCUUAGAAACCCUCUUGUGUGUAUGACUUACUACUUCUCUUGUGUGUGUGUAUGACUUACUAUUACUCUUGUGUCUUUCUAAACAUUCUCAACAUGUUAUCAGCACGACUCUCUUCUACACACUAUCACAAUUUUUUGCUCUAGUCUUUGACUCUUCAAACCUCUUGCUAUCCUUGCUCAAUAUCUGCGUCAUGAUCUUAUUCUUCUUGCUGGCCCCUCACACAUUAGCUGCUUGCUUAGAGCGCUUGUUCCACUCCCUACCUUGCUUGCUCUGAAUACUUGAUCCAGUCCAACUCUAUCCUCUGCUUGCUCCCUGCUGCUCUGCUUGCUCCCUGCUCCCUGCUCCCUACUGCGCCCCGCACCUGUCGCCGAACUGCCAUCGAGCUACCGCCAAAUCCACCGCUGCCACCCUGUUGCCGCUAACACUACCGCCCGUUGUCCGCCGCCAUCUACCGUCGCUGCAUGCCGCUGCCGUAUUGUUGUCUGCUGCUUAAUCUACAACUCUCUCUUUAAAAAAAAAAAAUAAAAAAAAAUAAAUAAAUAAAAUUAUAUAUUUUUAUUUUUUCAAGUUCAAGUUUAUCAUUUUAUUUGACUUUAUAUUUUUAGAAAAGACAGCAGCUGCAUCUGAUGUGACUCUAGAGGAUCCCUUCUUUACAGAUUAUUAUAAUGAGUGCUUCAACAUCUCAACUGCUCUACUAUGGUCCAACUAUUACGAGUGCAUCCCAACAUUUCAAGCUCUUUUAUUUCCACCAUUGACUGUGGAUGGAAACAAUUAUCUAUUAUGGACAAAAAUAGCAAAAGUAAAUUUAUUUACAGAACAACUCUCGGAUACCAUUAUGUUUGAAGAAUCUCCUAUAACAAGUAUUUCUAUACCUCUUGCUAUUCGUUGAAAAGCACUUCUUCUCCUUCGUCGUCAUCUUGUACUUGCAUUACAACAUCAAUAUUUGGAAAUGGAAGAUCCUGUAGAACUUUGGAAGAAUCUUAAAUUUAGGUUUGAUCAUCAAAAGACCAUUUCUCUUCCACGUGCAUGUCAUAAUUGGACACAUUUACGUGUCUUGGAUUUUCUAAAUUUAAAUGCUUUUAAUAGUGAAAUGUAUAGUAUUGUCUCACAAUUACGAUUAUGUGGACAAAGCAUUUCUAGAGAAGAAAUGAUUGAGAAAACUCUCUCUACAUUUUCUCCUGUAUUUGCUAUACUUGCACAACAAUACAGGAAUAUGAAAUUUCAGAGUCAUUCUAAUCUCAUGUCCUAUCUACUUCUUGCGAAGAAGCAAAAUGAGCUACUCUUGCACAAUGCGGAAGCUCGUCCUAUUGGAACUACAGUUCCAGAAUCUCAUGCAUUUAAUAUUUCAAAGUCUAAAAAGAAAUUAUAUAAACAUGGGAAACGUGCUCAUAAGUAUCAGGGUAGUCAUAGUCAAGACCAUUUCUAUCCAUAUGGAAAGAAUAAAUGUUCUACUAUUAAUUAUAGUAGAAAACAAAAAUCAGAGAUGCGUUCUUGCCAUAAGUGUGGAAUGAUUGGACAUUUAGCACAUGCAUGGCGUACUUCAAAAUAUUUUAUUAAAAUAUUCCAAGAAAAUAAGAAAUUGCGAGCUGAGGCUCGUGAAGUUCAUACUAUGGAUGCAUCUAUGCAUUCAAUUGGUGUUGAUGACUUAGAAGCUUAUAUGAAUGAUAGAACCUCUAAUGAUGAAUCAAAUGAUGCGCUCAUUGAUUCUGCAACAAUACAUACUAUCUUGCGAGAUAGAUGAUUUUUUAUUGAAAAAUCUUCAACUUGGCAAACUAAAAAUAUGAUAACCAUGGCUGGAGCAAAUGCGUUUUGUUUCCAAGAGGGCACAGCAAUGGUAAAAUUACCUGUAGGUUCCAUCAUAAAAUGUAAACAAGCAAUGUUUGUACCCUCAGCACCUCGGAGUCUGAUCAGCUACCGAGAUGUGCAUAUUGAUGGUUAUCACCUCUCGACCGCCACUUUAAAUAAAAAAGAGGUUUUGGUUCUUGCGAAGAACCAUAAAGUUGUUGAAAAAGUUUUUGCUAAAGAAAAUGAUUUAUACCGAAUUGUGAUUUGGCCUUCCAUUAUAUUUAAUUUUGCAUCAUCUAUCUCAGAGAGUCAUGUUUUUCUCUGGCAUAGACGAUUGAGACAUCCAAGAUCCACAUUAUUUAGAAAGAUCAUUCCAUGUAUAACUGGGCACAAUUUAAAGCCUACAUAUGUAGACUCUAGAAAAUUAUGUCGUGUAUGUGUGCAAGGUAAAAUGAUUACUCGGCCUUCAAUUUAGAAACUUCCACAAGAAUUGCCACCAAUGCUUGAAAGAUUGCAUGGUAAUAUUUGUGGUCCUAUUAAUCCAAUAUUAUGACCAUUUUGUUAUUUUUUGGUCCUUGUUGAUGCAUCAGGUAAACAAUCACAUGUUUCAUUAUUAUCAACUCAAAACAUGGUGUUUGCCAAUCUUAUAUCUAUGCUUAUUCGCUUUCGGGCACAUUUUCCUGAUUAUCCUAUAAAAACAUUGCAUAUGGAUAAUGCAAAAGAAUUUGCAUCAAAGUCUUUUGAAGACUAUUGUACUGCAACAGAAAUUGAAUUGACAUAUUGUGUUCCAUAUGAAUAUGCUCAAAAUGGACUUGCAGAAUCAUUUAUAAAGCGUAUACAACUCAUUACCCGGCCACUCCUCCUUCAGGCAAAUCUAUCUACAUCUAUGUGGGGUCAUGCAAUUUUACAUGCUGCAGCAUUAAUAUGUCUCCGCCCUUCUUCUCUUGAACUUGUUUCACCACAUGAGCUCAUUUCGGGUCGUGUUCCAAAUGUAUCUUACUUACGAAUAUUUGGUUGCUGUGCUUGGAUUCCAAUACCAAAACCUCAAUAGCGUACCAUUCGAGCUCAUCGACAAGAAGGCAUAUAUGUUGGUUUUGAUUCACCAAGCAUUCUUUGUAUUGUAGAUCCAUCAAUUGGCACAUUAUUACGUGCACAUUUGCAAAAUUGCCAUUUUGAAGAAAAUGUAUUUCCAUCUCUUCAAAGAAGAAUAUCCAAUCAACAAAGAAAUAAAGUACUCAUAUUUGAAGCUUUAGAAACGUUUACAAUGAAUCCCGAUCCUAAGACAUCUUUGGCAAAAACUGAAGUUACUAAGAUUUUACAUUUAAAACGGAUCGCGGAUGAAACACCCGAUGGCUUCGAUGAUGCACCUAGAAUUACAAGAGUUCCUAUUAAUGAGGCUCAGAAUGCACCUGCUCAGAUUGCAGUGCCAUUGACUACAAUACCUCAAGUUAUAACAACAACAAUUAAAAGAACUCGGGAACCAGAUAAGUAACCACGUAAGAAGAAAGUUAUAAAAUUAACUAAUUCUGGUAUUAUUUCUUAAGAAAUUGCCAUUCAUCUUGCAAGACUACCAAUUCAUGAUGAUAUAUCCAUGCAUAAUGUACCUUCAAUUUCUAUGAAAAACAAUCUUGGAAUUGGAAGGAAUAAGAACAAGUUGAGUAAAGAAUUAUCUAUUCUGUAUUGUGUUACAGAUGAUAUUUGGGACAAACCAUCUAUUACGGUAGAUGAAUCAUUUGCAUAUAUGAUUAUAGAAGCCCUUUCUUGUGAGGAAGACGAUCCUGAACCUCAAACCAUCGAAGAGGCGAUGCGUUGCUCAGAUUGGUCAAAAUAGAAAACUGCUAUUGAGGAGGAGUAUGCCUCUUUGCGUAAGAAGAAAGUCUUUGGUCCAAUUGUAGAUACUCUUACAUCUCGCCCUGUGGGAUAUAAAAUGGUAUUAAUAUGCAAGUGAGAUGCUCAAGGCCAAAUAACCCGCUAUAAAGCUCGUCUUGUUCCUCAAGGAUUUACUCAAUGAUUUGGCAUUGAUUAUGAAUCCACAUAUUCUCCAAUCAUGGAUUCAAUUAUAUUUCGAUAUAUUAUUGGAAUGACAGUUCAUGCCACCCUUGAGAUGCAUCUGAUGGAUGUAGUUACUGCAUAUCUAUAUGGUUCUCUUGAUGCAAAUAUUUAUAUGAAAGUUCUACCUGGCUUAAAAACAGAAACUCCAAAUCAACCCGCUCCAGGAAAAUAUCGUGGUAUUAAAUUAUGUAAGGCCUUGUAUGGUUUAAAACAAUCUGGACGUAUGUGAUAUCAACGUCUUCGAGAUUAUUUAAUUACAAAUAAUUUUAUAAGUGAUCCACUAAUCCCUUGUUUGUUUAUCAAACAAGAUAAAACUGGUUUUGUGGUCAUCGCUGUAUAUGUUGAUGAUCUUAACCUAGUGGGCACUACAUCUGCAUGUGUUAUAACUACUAACCUACUUAUACGUGAAUUUGAGAUGAAAAUGCUAGGAAAAACAACUUUCUACAUUGGUCUUCAGAUUAUGCAUCUAACAGAUGCUAGCAUUUUUUUCUACCAACUAACAUAUAUUAGACGAAUCUUGCAAAGAUUUAAUAUGAUUGAUGCUUAUCCAUUGUCCACACCAAUGGUUGGACAUGGUCGUGAUGGUCAUGAUCCAUACCGUCCAUGCGAGGAGGAGGAGGAAAUAUUGGGAGACCAAUAUCCAUACCUCACAACGGUUGGAGCACUUUUAUAUUUAGCUACAUCUACAAGACCAGAUAUUGCAUUUGCAAUUAGUGUUCUUGUAAGACAUAGUGCACGUCCGACACUACGACAUUGGAAUGGCAUCAAAUAUUUAUUACAUUAUUUAAAAGAUACUGAAGACUUGGAAUUAUACUACACAAAAUCCGCAGAUCCAAAAUUGGUUGGAUAUUGUGAUGUAGGAUAUAAAUUUGAUAUUGCAAUAGCUAAAUCUCAAAUAGGAUAUGUAUUUUUAAGACAUAGAGCUACAAUAUCAUGGAAAUCAGUGAAACAAACAAUAACUGUAACUUCAUCCAACCAUGCAGAAAUUAUUGUCUUAUAUGAAGCAUCUCGAGAAUGUAUUUGGUUGCAAUCAAUUGAUAAAUUCAUUCAAACAACCUGUGGAUUUUCAUAUGAUGAUUCUCCAACUAUCUUGCAUGAAGAUAAUAGUGCUUGUAUUGCACAGAUGCAAGUUGGUUUCAUUAAAGACAACAUGACAAAGUAUAUUGAUCCAAAGUAUUUUAGUUAUACUCAUGACUUGAUUACUGAUCAAGCACUUAUAAUUAAGAAAAUUGAAUCUACAAAUAACCUUGCUGAUCUCUUCACCAAAGCUCUUCCAUUAAGCAACCAUCGUCGACUUACUUAUGGCAUUGGUAUGAGGCAACUUACUUUUCUUGAAUAUGAAAGUUAACAAGCUCUUUAAAUAAUUAAAUAAAAUGAUGUUGUACUCUUUUUCCUUCAUCUAUGGUUUUGUCCUUAAAUAAAAUAAGAUUUACCUAGAUAAGAUUUUAAUAAGGCAACAAUUCUUGAUCUUGCAAGAUCACAGAAAAGUAUAGAUCAUGAUUCUAUACAAAUUUUAUAUUAUGUAAAUAUUAUGAUGGGCGAGGAGGAGUGUUGAGAUCAUUAAAUGUAGCCGACUCUCUCCAUAAUAUUUACUGUAGACUACAUUAAAUACCAUAGCUACAGUAUUUAGAGUCUAAUGGAGAAGUACUGUUUAUCCUCUCCUCUUUUCUCUUCUUGUAUAUGAGACACAACUAGAUCUAUAAUUUUUGAGUGUGUGAAGCUCUCUCUCCUGAGAAACCCUCUUGUGUGUAUGACUUACUACUACUCUUAUGUGUGUAUGACUUACUACUACUCUUAUGUGUGUAUGACUUACUAUUACUCUUGUGUCUUUCUAAACAUUCUCAACAAGAACUAAAACUAUGCCAAUGUAUUCUAUUAUCCAUCUUGGUGCAGAGCAUCUGGUUUUUUUCCCUUGUAUCAUCAAAGUGUUAAAAAUUGAAUUCUACCGGGGCUUCAUUAUCCUUUGUGGAUAAUUGAUUCCAUUCAAUGCAACCAUAAUCAUGUAAAUAUUGCCGUAUCCUAGAUGUAGUUUGUUUUAGAGACCAUUCUUUGACAUUAAAAUACCAUUGUGUUUUUAUUCAAGCCAAAGUUUCCAUGGGUAACUCCUCAUAACAAUGUCCAAAUGAGAUUAAACUUCCCAAAUUGCUCAGGUAGAGGUUUGGAGAAUAAGAAUUGCUGCCAACCAAAUGUAAGUGGGUUCGCCAGAGUACUUGGCUUCUUUUCCAGUGCUUGAAGAAGAGAGCUGCACCACCACCAUGUACACACUCCUUUUGCACAAUCACAGAACCUAUGCAAGAUGGUCUCUCAGUGCCUGGGCAGAAUGGGCAUGACAAGCCUGUAUUGGGAUAAUUUUGCCCCUCCAGUGGUUGCACAUGAAUGGUUCCACAUAAACCAAGGGAAGACCAGGGCUCUUCAGUUAACAUCGCAGACAAUGUACAUGAAGGACUGCACCACGACAUGUGUGGCAGUUUUUAUCAUACUAAAUUGCCAACCAGCGUCGAUUCCGGUGCAAAGAUCUGGAAAAGGAGUUAAUUGGCGCCUAGGGAAGUUUCGCAGAACCGAGGCGAGCUUCAUAAAAGUACGGGCAGCAGCACGAGGACGGAACGUGGGAAAAGCGAUUUCAUCCUCGACAUGGGAUUCUGGUCCCAAUCCACCGCGUCUCCCAACGUCUUGCAAAAGGCACCUGUUUCUCAUCCAGAAACAGAGGAGUUGGAACUGGAACACCACCAGAUUACAUGUCUCACCUGGCCUGCGAGAUGAAGUCUCUCGUUUAGGAACUUCCUCACGUUCAUCCGUGCACAGUACAUAAAUUAUGUACCGAGGUGAAAUCCAACGAGAAUAUCUGGAGCGAAUCGACGAGGCGGUUUCAGAAUUGUAUAAUAAAUAACUACGUGCAGCAGCUUCGAGGUUCUGCAAUCUGUAGCUUAAAAUAGCACACCAUGAACAUAGCGCUUUUAACCACUCAGAAGAAAGUACCUCUAAGAGAUGGGACUUCAAGCAUCUACCCGAUUUGUUUCUUUCUAUAUUUAGUGCACAUUGUACGUGUAAUAUGCCUGCAGACAACAUCAGGACUAAUCGUUAAGAGAUAAAACGAGAUACACAGAAAACCCCAAACGUCAUCUACUACCAUUAUUCCGACUUGUUAACUUAAUCAUCGCUGCUCAGGGAAGGUUGCAGAGAACCCCAAAGCAUGAAACUCUAAUGUAUACUAGUCCUGAAAUUCCAUUCCAUGAACUGUUCUUCGAACAGCUAGUUUCUAUAUAACAGCCAGAAUAAACUUGACAAACAGCCCACUUCAUAAGUCCCGCACAUCAAUAAACAAGAAUAAGUGUGCGAUACCUUUUGAACGCAACUUCAGUACGAUAGAUGACUCGAAAAUUGAGCAAAUAGAUGUAUGUGCAUCAGAAAUGCCAAGCUCAAGUGCAAUCGGUAGGCAACGAACACAUUGAUUCAUUCAUGGAACGUCCCGUGUUAUACAAGAAGGACCUACUGCACUCAUCUUCGAAAAUAGCCACUACUGCUGGCCCGAUGCCCCCUUCACACAAAUGUCUCUUUACAUCAAAAGAAAAAAAAAAAAAAAAAAAAACCCCCGACGAUGAUGCACAAAAUCCAACCACCCCUCCACUCCACUUCCGCCUACGCUCCGUUCAACACGUGACUCGCGUCCGCGCCCUUCUUCGCCACGCUGCUCUUCUUGCCUUCGCCCUCUUGCAGCAGCGUCCGAAGACCCCCGUCCCCACCCUCCUUCCCGGUCGCUCCUGCACCGUCCGUGCCUUCCUCCUCCUCCUCCUCCUCUUCCGCACCCACCACGUCGCCCUCGUCGUCGUUCUGCUCCUCCUCGUCUCCCUCGCCGUUCCUCUCCUCCGCCUUCGCCACGCCGUUGCCGUUGUGGUGUUCCGCGUCCUCCUUGGCCGCCACACCUUCCACAGACUCUUCUGUGCCACCGUUCUCCUCCUUCUCCAGUCUCGGCUUCUUCGCUACUUGCUCCUCGCCAUGGGCCUCGCCCUCUUUGCCUUCCGGGCCCGCCUCGCUCCCAUUCUGCCCGUCCACUCCCACGCCCUCCUCCGCCGACAACCCCGUCACAACUUUGGGUCCUUGCCGAUCGACCUCGUCGAUGCUCGCGGUUUUCAGCUGCUCAUUGCCUCCCAACCCAUACGCGGACUCCGCUGGCGCUGCCAUUGUCGGUACGCCUCAGCACCACCACCUCUGCGCCUCGACCUCCCCCACCACGCUCUUGUCGUCCCGACCUGCUCCCAAUUCCCUCCACUCCACCCUCCACCCAACCUCCAAGAAACCGGUGCACUCUCGCCCUUCCUUGGAACCGCUGUGCUGCUAAGAACAAGCAAAGCAUGCAUACACAGUCCCACGAUGAAUGGGAACCUUACUCGCACACACUCACACACGCACACAGAAGGAGAGAUAGAGAAACGGGGACACAGACAGACAGACAGACAGUCUGACAGAAACGAAGAGCGGGCACGCGCGUGCUUGCACGCGUGCGUAGGAAUGGGUAAGCGACUCUCACUGCAGGAAAAUAUGUAAAACGGGGAUGCGAGAGAGAGAGAGAGAGAAACCGACGAGAGAACCUUCGGCAAUGGAGGUGGUGUUGGUUAUGAAGGGGGAGAGCGUGGAGAAGGAAGACGGAGAGAGCGAGAGCGAGAGAGAGCGCGGGAUCCGACCCACCGUCGCUGCGGGUGUUGCAACUGCUGCGGCGCCACUUGGCGCGGCGCAUGCUCCUGGGUGGGUGGGUGGGUGGCUGGCUCCGACGAUCGUCGACGAUCGUCGAGGAUCGUGGAUCCUCCUCCGCCCCCACCCAUCCCUCGCGCUCCCCGUGCUCCCUCUACUACCACUUCCCUCUCCUUCCCUUCCCUCGGCGCUGCGCAGCUCGGCUCACCACUGCUCCCCCUCCUCCUCCUCCUCCUCCUCCUCGUCUGAACGCAGCCCCGGGUGAAGUGAAGCGCAGCGAGCGAGGGACAGACGGACGGACGGACGGAGGGACGGAGGGCCAGUGCAGGGAGCGAGGUCGUUCAGCAGCCAUGGCUGCCGCGGCUGCGGCUGCGGCGGCUGCUAUUGUUACGAUGUUGAUGUUGGUGAUGAUGAUUCUGCUCUCAACCUGGCACUCUUCUGGAAUCCUCCCGCUAUCCCGCCCGGCACAUCCCGGGCGGGAGUGCGCACGAGAGUAAUGGUGCGGGGCAGGGCUGGGCAGGGGGAGGGCAGGCCUACAUGGCAGUGUGGGGGCAGGGUAGUUAUCCGUUUGUAAUGUGGGGGUGGGUUCCGAGGAAUGUGCAUGGUAGUUCCGUGUGUUUGCACGUCAGCUUUUUUUUUUUUUUUUUUUUUUUUUUUUGCAGGUUUUUGGUAGCAACGGGAGUCAGUGACAUUCUUCUGUGCGACUACCACAUUCUUUGUUGUGCACCACUACCCCCUGUAACUCCUGUUCUAACUCUUGUUCUCUUUAUCUGCUUGGCUUUGGCACUCCUCUUGGAGUUGGCUUUUUGCUUGUAAUUGUUGGAACCUCUUGUUCCAACAUUUUAGUGUUUGUUAUUGUAUUGUUUGAUGAUUGACAUGUAUAUUUUCCACAUACACCUUUGUUUGUUUGUAAGGAAGUUUUAUGUUAGACAAUCUUAAGAUGUAAAUUUGUGACCUAUUGUUUUAUAAUUUUGUUGAUUAUGAUGUUUGCAAAUCUUCAUGUUAUUAAAACACUAGCUUUUAAAUAUAGCCUCGUAAGGCUGUACUUUUUUUCGUUGUUUUAUAAGAUGCUGUGUUAAUGACUUGAAUUUAUUUCCUUAGAAUAUCAUUUUCGAUUUUCAAUUUUCAAUUUUUGUUUACAAGUAGAAAUUUCUGAAUAUUUUUUUAAAAUUUGCUAUGGCAUUUUGAAUUUCUCCUACAUUUUAAAUUAUUUUCUUGUUUGAUACAGGCACACAUUUCAGUCUGUAAAUCAAAAAACCAAGUAGAUUUGUAAGCUUAGAUUAUAACCAAAGUGAGAUCACGUGUACUCUGUUAAUUGUGUUUACAAUAUUUACCUGAAAAGCAAAGAAAAGAAAGUAAUGGGAGAAAGUAAAAAGCCUACGUUUAACAAUAUUAGUGAAUUCAGUUCAUACUAUGAAUUGAACCAUAAUGAGUCUUGUUUUAUACUUGAAGAUAAAUGGAAAUCCAAUUGGAUUUGGUAUUACAACAUUUCUCUCUCUCUCUCUCUCUCUCUCUCUCUCUAUAUAUAUAUAUAUAUAUAUAUUAUUCAUUUACUUCAUUUCUCAUUCUCUCUCUAUAUAUAUUUACAUCUUGAGGUCAUUUAUUUACUUCAUUUCUAUACAUAUAUAUAUAUACAUACAUACAUGGAGUUUAAUAUCAAAGUUUUAAAAAUAUUAAAUGUAACAUAAUAUUUUUAAGCAAAUUAUGUUGCAAUAUCCUAUUAAAUUAUAACUAUGUGUUAUACAAUCAUUAUCUAUAUUUUGUUUAAAUUCAUUAGAGCUAAACACAACAUAAGUUAUAUUUUAUUAAAAAUAAUUUUUUAAUGUAAAUUCAUAUAUCUUGAAGUACUACACAUAAUAAAUAUAUUCAAACAGAGAUGUUUGAAAAGUAUAAAUUUACAAUCAUUAGUUUUAUUAUUUAAUCCAAUUUUUUUUCACAAUCUGUACAAGUUACUAAAAUUGGAUUAAAUAAUAAUUAAAAAAUUAAAUGUAUAGUACCAAGUAUCACAAGUUUUGCCAAUCUUGUCUCUAAAUUGUAGAUUUUUUAAGAACCACAAUUACACACAUGCCUUGCAUCCAAUGAACAUCUCAAUUCUUUUAACCAUAUUUAAAUAAUAAAAUAAGCCCCUAAUCUAUGAACUCAUUACAACUUGUUUAAUACUUGGUAUAAAAUUCUAUUCAUGUUCAAGAUCUUGACUAACAAUUUUUUAAUUUUAACUUCACAUAAUACUUAAAUAUUACUUCACCAAUCACUCCACUAAUCACUUUUCAUGUCGAUUCCAUGAUCAUUUUUAGUCUAAAAGUGAAAGAAGAUAUCAUAGAAAUACGAUCAUUCCAUGAACUCACAAGCACAAGUAAAUGAAGUGCAUGAAAACCACAUUACCCCCACAAUUCGUGGGAAGAUGAAUAUAUAAGAAUAUUCCUCCUCCGCCCCACCUCGGAAGACACGCUAGCUCGCUUCGUAUUUUCAUGCGUUGGAAUGUGUGCAGCGCUACUAGGACCACGUCGCGCAGUCUCCGCCUCCAGCUUCGAAGCUCGUGGCGCGAGCUAAGAUUUCAGGUCUCUUACGAGUUUUUCCGGGCUGCCAAGCCCCUUCAGAUUGAAUUGUAAGGGUCGAGAGGAAGAGUUCUGGUUGUGGGCAUCGUUGGUCGCAGCUCGUCGCCAUGGCGGUCUCUUGUCGAUUGCAAUCGCCAUUCCUAUCCUCUGUCUCUUCCCCUCUAUCCGCCUCAACGUCGUCAAGCAGCCACCAGAAUGUGGAGCUACCGCUUGCCAGAAUAGAGUCGCAAGUUCGCUGCGUUCAGCUUCCCAAAGGGUGCAGUACGAGCCGGCGACCACAAUUGAGAGUAUGUGCUGAAUUAGGCGCAAGUAGUGAACAGGCUGUGGAUCUGAAUGAUUCCGUGUCUGCUUCAGAGUCGGGGAAGAGCGGUGAAAUUGCUGUUCAGACUGGGUAAUUGGAUUUGGCUGCAUUUGUUGCUCUGAUUUUAGGUUAUGGGCUUCAUUGAUUGGGAUGAAUUUUAUUUGGAAAUGAGUUGAGGGGAGCAUGUGCACGGAUUUGUUCGAGAAUUACAUACAGGGAAGAUCGGAGAUACUUGCGACUGAAUUCAGAAAGCUAUGGUUGGGGAAGCGAGUCCUCCGUCAAAUUAGGGCUGUAAAUUGCUGUUACGCUGUUGGAACUCGCGGUUUCUGAAGGUGGGUAGUAGGAGUGGGACAUGUAAUGCAGAACGUGGAAGUGGCGAGAGCACAAUAUACGAUAUCAGCGCGCCGGCGGUUCUGGACCAGCAGUAGUCCUCAUCCAUGGGUUCGGGGGUAACUGGUAGGUGUAACGAAAAACUUCGCCUCAUUGGUAAAGCCUGACUUCGUAUUUCCAUGUAAGACCAUUGCAAUGUCAAAUUGGUCAUUCCCAGAGCGUACACUCAGAACAAAAAAGGCGAGAUUCAAAAUUUUCAGAAAGUGGAGAACACGAUUUUAUUUUCUUUUCAUUGAAUCACAUGUGAUUCAGGAUAUUGUCAUGGGAACAAUGAAAUGUCCGGCACUGGUUCUCAAUCGCAAUGUACCACUGAAUGUCCCAGUCUAAGCGGGGUAUUGCACGGCAGCACUACUUUACAAUGUGUAUUGUGAGGAUGGUGUAGGUUUUGAUCCGAAUUCCAGCUUGUUUCUUAUUAUCCCGUGUUGAUAAUUUGGUGUUGUGUUUGAAAUUACGUAGAUAUAAAUUGUGUUUCUGACAGAUAGAAUGUUUCUGGGGAACCAAAAGAUAAUUAUUUCAUGGAUUGCAAGUGGUGGUGAUCAACUCUCUUUUGUUGAGAUUUGGCAGUGAUCACUGGCGAAAGAACAUUCCAUACCUGGCCAAGUCGCAUCGAGUUUUUGCCAUCGAUCUUCUGGGGUACGGGUUUUCUGACAAGCCCAAUCCACGUGACCAACCACCCAACACCUUAUACUCAUUUGAGACAUGGGGCAGUCAAAUUUUGGACUUCUUAUCUGAUGUCGUUAAUGAUCGGGCGUUCCUUAUUUGCAAUUCUGUUGGUGGUAAUCUUCUAGACGCCUUUGCGGUUAACAUAUCACUGUAAUCCUGCGUUCUGUCGUUUCUAUUUUUGUGUCGUUUAAUGCUCCACCUGUAAACUACUUUGUAGUUCCGAGGCUUGCAUCUUACUGUAGAUUGUUUGAGGUUUCAGGGGUAGUAGGUUUAGAAGCCUCCCUGAAAGACCCACAGAAGGUGCGAGGAUUAAUGUUGGUCAAUGUAUCGCUACGUAUGUUGCACUUGAAGAAGCAGCAGUGGUAUGUGCGUCCAUUCGUCAAAGCACUCCAGAAUGUCUUACGGUGAGCCAACUUCGUACAUAACCAUCAUAUUCUCUUCACCUCAGAAAGUUGUUUAGAGUCGAACUCUUGCUGGAGGUAUUGCAGAAUGUUCAUGUGCGUUUUAGUUGCAGUGUUUAUUCGCAAUGUUAAUCUUCUCGCUUUCAGUUGUAAUUUGUAGCCAAGUUUGAACAAUUAAUCAAGGUUACUUACUGAAUCUCGUUUUGCAGAACAACUACUUUGGGACAACAAUUUUUCAAGUCGGUUGCCAAACCUGAAGCCGUGAAGAAGAUCCUUCGUGAGGUUCGACAUUUCAUUACUCUUUAGGCUUCAAAGCAGUUACUAAGUUACAUUUUUCACAUUUAGUAUUUCACCUGUGCUGCCUUGCAAGCUCUCUUGGUUACGGCCCGAGCGUGUUGAUCUCCACGCUCACCCACGAGUAAUAUCGGGUGGAGGUGUAUGGAGAAAGCCUGCUCCUUGUGUUUGUGAAUGUGUGUGCAUGUUUAGAGAGACUUAAAAGUAAUUUGAGGUUAAAGAAAUCUAAUUUGAGUCAAUUAUUGAAUAGCUGAAUGAAAAGAGUUGUGCAACUAUUAUCAUCUGUGAGUGAGCGUGAGGUUAGUUCUUCCCAGAUUUAGUUUCCAACUCUUUGUGCUUAUUUAAGGUGUGCUCGGGCACAAUAAUAUUGCACUUGUGGAGUGCAGUGUUAUCACGAUGACAGCGCUGUCACGGAUGAGUUAGUAGAAAAAAUCCUGACACCGGGACUUCAACCAGGAGCAGUCGAUGUCUUCUUAGAUUUCAUCUGCUAUUCUGGUGGCCCUCUUCCUGAAGAAAUGCUACCUCAAGUGAAGGUGAACAUCAACUCCAGUUUUCCAAUAUUAUUAAGAGCGGUUUUCUCUUCACAGUGGAGAGGUUAAAUUUUAGUCUGCUGUUUAAAAAUGCGCUAAGCAUGUCAGGUUUACUAAUGCUAAUCGCAGGUGAUAUUCUGUCACUUGGAGCAACAAUAAUCCGUGUUGGAUUCCGAAUAUAUUUACUAACCCGCAUUAUAAUUCUCUAUUUUCUCAUGUAGUCCGUAACGUUUAGUCAGCUUGAGAAUAUUCAGAGCCUAUGCCUUCUCUUCGGUAUCACUUACCUGGAGGGGGUAAUCAUUGAUCUUGGGUGUCGAAGACCUAGGUAGCUUUCUCCAUUUUACUUCGAAACGGGUGAUUAUAGCAACUCUCUGCGGAUGGCAUGCAUGUCAUAAUCCGCGGUUGCUGGAUCUAACAUUUCCAUGACCUCCACCAUCGUGACACUAAACUGGAAACCUUAACCGUCAGUUAUUGGAUAACUAUAUUAGUCCGUAAUGCCCAAUUAUUUUGGCUUAUCUUAGGGGUGUCUGUCUUCGAAGUAAAGUCUUCAGUGUUGAUGAUGUGCAGGUCCCGGUGGUGAUUGCAUGGGGAGAAAAGGAUCCUUGGGAACCAAUUGCUUUGGGGAAGGCUUACGGUGAGUUCGACACAGUGGAGGACUUCAUUGUACUUCCCAACGUCGGACAUUGCCCACAGGUUCAAUACCCUCGUUUUCCCAACCUCUUUAUUCAAAAAGACAAUUUUAAAAGAUUUCUUUUGGUUUUCGCAAGUAUUAUGUUUGGAGAACAUGAGCCUGAAUUCUGAAGUUGUAUUGCAUUUUAUGGAAGGGGACUGUGGAGUGUUGAAGGAGAGAGUAAAACAGGCUCUCAAAAAGCAGCACUAGCGCAUCUUCAAAUGCUAGUGUUGAUUAUGGAAAAUUGCACACAUGUACAUCUCCUCACCUUGAAUGAAUGGUGACGCAGGAUGAAGCUCCUCAUCUGGUGAACCCGCUAAUAGAGAAGUUUGUAGCUCGUCAUUCAGGAGCGUAACUCACAGAUUGAGUGCGUGGUUCGGAGUUGCAUCUUUGUUGUGCGAUCCUUCAUUUAGUCGGUUCCAGCAUGAUAAUUUCCGUGCUCAUCGUGUAUCCUACAGAUUCUUCGUCUGACAUUCUUUAACUCAACGAAAUACCUGUAUCACAAACCUUUGAUUGCCUUCGCGUAGGAAUUUUCUUCCUUUAUUAUUGAUCUCAAACCUUGGAAACGAGUGCAUUUGCAUUGAGCUAAUGCUGAAUGUAUUGAGUGAAUGUUCCUCUAUUGUGAAACUUGUAACAUUAUGACAAUCAAUGCAUUGAAUCAAAGUAAUAAUUUUAAUCUGUUUUGUCUAUAUUUUAUGUACGUUUUAUUUAUUUAUUUAUCUUCCUUUUUAUGUUUACGGAAUAGUAGUACUCAUUUGUUUUGUGGAUGGAAAAAUGUUUCAACAAUGAUGCAUUUAGUCUACAAACGGUAAUGGCCAUGAUUGAAUUUCAGGAACUUUUUCAUGCAUGUAGUUAAGGGUUCAUAGUUAUUUUAUUCAAUAGAGUUGUAAGAUAAGAGAUCGGGAAAGUACUGACACAUAGAUAAUUCAGGAAUAAGUUUUUCUACGUAUAGUGUUUGUUAUUUUGAGUGUUACAUACUUUCUAUAAUAGAUGUAGAUGAUCUACUUGAAUAUGCAGACGUCCGCGAGUGAUUCAUAAUCAAUUUAUAGUGUCAGUUUUCAUCGAAUUUGUUAGCAAAUAUAGUGUUAAUGAACGGAAACUGCAGAAAUGUAAUUAAAUUAUACCAGAAAUUAUUUGCAGUACUGAGCUUAAGGUGAUUGUCUCUUUACUCAUUAUUAUUGAUCAAGAAGAAGCAUGUUUACUGUAGGUGACUGCGGCGUCAAUGUAAACAGCAACUACCCAUUUCACAAGUGUGCGAUUCUAUCUAUCUGCCUAAUAAAUGUGACAGGGAAUUUUUCCAAAAUCUCUCCACACAAGAACUCGGGAAGAGAAUCAGCCUUUGCAAUUAAUUUGAGCAGAAGAGAAGAAUCUUCUGAAAUGAAAAAUGCUUCAAAGCAAUGAAUAUUAGACGGAUGGUGUGGGCGGGGGACUACGGUCCUCACCACCAAGAAUGUGCAAAUUGUUUAGCAAUAACAAAAUUAUGUGUAUCCACAGGUUUAGAGACUGUAUGCACUAUCUAUAAUCUAGACUCGAUCCACAUAACCAUAUACUCUCUGUUCCGAAGGAAUUGGUAAACUGAUCAGCUUUGCGGCAACCAGGACAGGAAUUAAUCCAUUGGUGACCAGGGAUUAAUCGCAUGCUGACCGCACUCAACGUCGUUGAUUUGGUAUCAGGAUAUGUUGCAUUCAACUGUCCAGAGAAGCGGUGUUCAAGAGCUCCAUAGCCGAAGCGCCGUAAGCUUGCAUUUGUGAGCGAGUAUACACAGGUUGAGGGUAUAUAAGAGAGAUGGAAAGGUUGUUGCCCUCGCAGAAGGCCUCGCUGACUGCAAAGCAAGGACCAACUCCGUGCAUUGAGGGGAAUGGUCCAGCCACCGCAGCCACCUGCAAUCUCUGGUACUCCUUGUAAAGUUGCAACGGAGCUUCGUCCACAAACAAGGAGAAUAGUGCAGUUCGCAUGGACGAUUGCGGAGUCAAAUUGGGAUGCUUCAGCACCUGCACAUCAUGAAAACAGUUCUUAGACGCAUUUAUUUGAUGAGAAGAAUCCUUUGUGGUGAAAUAUCCAUUCUCAGUGUGCGGAGCAGAUAAGAGUCUGGUCAAACCUGAGAGAAGAGCAUGUUAAGAACAGGGAUCUCCGAAAACUGUUUGCUCUUAGACAGCUCUUUGGCAGUGGAAGCUGACACGCUUCGCGCUAGGUCCCAAAAAGAGACCCCUUCUUUUACCUGUUGACCUUGAGGAACACCAGCCACAAAGUUGCCUAUUGUAUCGGCGGAAAGACUUGGCUCGAAGUACUUCCGACAAUCUACCAAACUGCGCAAGAUCAUUUCGUGUUAUGAAGACGCAUGGAGGCAACCUACAUUAACAACCCUAAUCAAGUACAAGCAUGUGCUUAUUAUCGGCUUUUGCCACUCUGUUAAGAGAAUCUUCAACAUGCGUUUGAAGAAAAAUGCGAUUAAAAUUACAUAUUAUUGAUAGAGGAGCUGAACUCCUAACGCACACACCUUGUGAAGGAGAAUUCGUCCUUUUUCUUGUCCUUGAGCUCUUUCACGUUCGCUGCUGUCUUCAAAAAGGCUGCGCCCAGUGCUGCUGCCAGAGUUGUCUUCUCCUUUUUGCAUGCUUCGAGAAGUCUCGCAGUUUCUAGUCAAAAGAGAGAAAUAAAUAACUAGAUGUGGCCAUUGCAUAAAGUUUUAGGCUGCACACAUGGAAGCUAAUACAGGUAACAUACGGACGAGCCACGGUAGAAACGUCCAGGCACAGAAUCACUGAAGCUUUUAACAAAAUAGUGUAACAUACCUACUGUACCGAGGGAGUAUGUCAAGAUAUCGGACUUGAACUUUUCCUUCUUCUGCUCGCCAAAGCUAGGCUGGAAUGGCAGGAGAGUGUACUUGUUCGCACUCAAGGCGUAGCCCACUGUGUCGAAACCUUUCUGGAAAAUGUUCUUGGACGAUUUUCCCUUCGGCACCAGUUCUUCAAUUGUCGGCAAGAUAGCAUCCUUGCCGUGAUUUAGUGGAAGACCAACCGUUUGACCAUCAACAAUGGCAUUCAGUGCGGUCAAGAAUUGACGCGAAGCUAUGUAAGCAGAUGGCCUGUCAAGACCUCCACUGUGGAACCGCAACACUAUAAUGGUAUGUGAACGGGAUGUCUCGGUGUACAUGUGAACCUGCCAAGCGUAAGAUAUCAGCAGCAAUUUCACCGUCUUACAAGACAAACAUCACCUCAUCAGAGUAACAACACCCAACACAAUAUCAGGAUCCACUCAGCAACGAGUAAGGCGACUCUGAAGUGCAGUGUGCUUACUUGAAAAAAGUCCAAAGGAGGACUAGGGUUGUUUUCAGAGUUCACGAAAGGGAUAUUGAGCUCAUCGCGAACCACUUUGUUGACAGCGUCAGCGAGACCAUCAUCGUCACCCUCAAUGGUUACAUCACCCGCUUCACAGCUGGAGGAAGUCUGAGGCCAAGGGCAAAUCUCUAGACAAGGUGCGACCGAGUCAUUCUUCACGAGAAUCGCGAGCUUUCCCUUUGCGUUUUCGACUGCCUGGGCCCUCAGCAUUGCGUGCUGAUACAUGACCUCACGACAUGCUUGAGCAACAUGGUGCGACUCCACCAAACGCCGCAUCGCAAUAGUCAUCACAGCUAUUCCAGUUCCUAGUGCUGUGGCCUUGGUCCAGUUUUCUUCUGAUGGACCCAUCACUCUAGUGAGAGCAUCUCCAUUUGGAGCUUCUGGCGCCAUGGCCCUCUGAUGAGCUCAAACUCCCGGUUUUUAUGUAUCACCUGCAAUGCGACGCGAAGCUUAAGAAUACUGUUGUAGAACGCUAUUAUAGACAUCGAGCUACUCCAUUAAUCCUCUGCACUCUCAGCAUUCAAGGUACCUUAACUCAAAGGCAUCCUAGUUGCAAUAGAGUAAAGCUUCAAAAACAUAUCUCAUGACGCAUCAUUUCCAGGUUCAAGACAAGAAGGUGUUUAUCGAAGCCACGGAGUAUCACAAAACUCAGACGGACUUAACGCCCAAUAGAAAGCUACCCGAACCAAAAAUUAAAAACAGGUGGAUCCGAAGGCACUGGUCCAGUGAAGAGCUAUGUACAGUUGCGUGAGAUAAAAUGGAAUACCUCCGAUGCUACUGAUUCAGCUAUUUCAGCUGGUUUGAACUAGCUGCAGCACACAACCAGACUCACACCGAACUACUCCACCGUAGCGUCAGCGGCGACGCAAGCAUGGAGAAUACAACCCUAGUCUCACGACGCCCACCACGGAGAGGACGACGAGCCUCAACCCUGCAAAGGUCAACGUACCACAGCACUAUCAACCCACCAACCGGCACAUAAUCACCUCACCUCAUCUGGCCAGCCCUGCACCCCUAAUAGCUUCAUCUCCCAGUCGGACACCACCUGAGUAGAAACUGACAUGUACCGAAGUGUACAUUUAUACAAACAUAGACAUUCACACACACACUCACAUACACAUUACAUUUCUCUCGAGACAUGCAGCAGAAUCCAGCUAGCCCAGCUCUCGACUCCUCCUCACUACAACGCCACUUGACCCAUCACUCUCCCGCAGUCCACGACACAACCAACAUCGGUAUACAAAUCCCUAGCAGAUUCAAAAUCACUGCAAUCAAGCCGCACCGCCAGUACACAUUCUGAGACGAAAUCCAUCAGCAGCCUCAAGUGGCACCCUGUCGAUACAAGAGCCGGAAAAAAAAAAAACGACAGGUGUGGGACGAGUUAGUUUACCGGCGAAGGAAGGGCAGCAACCUGGCAACCUGGACGUGUACAGCACCAGCCUGAACGUGGAACAGCAGCUGCAGACAUGGGUAGAUGGAAGGUGGAGGAAUGAGAAGUGGAACCAGCAGUGACUGCAAGGGCCGCUGCCGCUGAUCGUUUAUAUGGGAGACUGGUGAUGGCGGUGGAAAUCGGACGCGGUGCGUGAAUCUUUACUGCAGCACUACCUAACGCGGUGGCAGAACCAUUAAGUACGCUGUGAGAGAGUGGGUAGCGCGCAUUAACUAAGCCGGCUCUUCAUUCUUCCCCCUUCUGUAAAGCUCUUCACACCAUACCCAUAACCACACUGACGUCUCUCUGCCCACCACCUCCCUGCCCUGCCUGCCUCUCUCCAUGGCUGCACAUCAACGCUUCACCCUUAACGUGCUGCCGCGAUGCGGUACCUACCGUGACCUGAGCUUGAGCCUGAGCGUGAGCCUGCACACUAGUCACGGAGCUCAUGGUGCCCCACUCGCCCUCGAUGUUGUUCUUGUUGUGUUAUUCUUCGUCUUAUUCAAACAAUGUGGGUUUGUUGUUGUUGUUGUUGUUGUUGCUGUUGAUGCCUGCCUCAUUCUGGAAUCAGUGCAUAGUGUUGCAAGUGAUGGCAGGCAGCUUGUUGAUGUUGUUGUUUUGACACGAGAUUGGAUUCCAUGAAGGGUUGGUUGACAGCGUUGUUGGAAUGCUGUGAGAUGUCAUGGUGUCUAUGUCGAGGUGAAUUUAUAUUACAAAACACACUGACAACUUCAUGACGUUUUUGUUUUUGGAGAGGGUUUUUAUUACGUUAAGAAUUGUGUAGGAAUGGUUUUGGUAGAGAGAAAAUUAGGAGUAAAUGAGUGUGACAUCUUUUAGUUUGUUUUAGUUGGAUAUCAAAUUUAUAAGUAUCUGUAGUGGUUUGAAAUGUUUUGAGCUAUGUUUAUUCGAUUUCUAUCAGAUGUAUUACAAGUUUAGUUAUAGAAACUUGUGAAUUUUGUAACAAAUUCUAUUAAUAUUGAUGCCUAAGGGCUUAAAAAAUUGCAUCAGAUGGAAAGAUUCGAAGCUUUUAUAGCGAGGUAACAUGACUCAUGCAUACGAGUUAAACAAUAAAUUAAUUUUUAAUAUGAACUUUCAUAUUUUUAGCUUUCAGAAAUCUGUAAACAUUAGUUUGGCAUUCUUUUGUAACAUUUAAAGCAAUUAGGCACAAAAAGAGUUAAUUUGUUGGCAAUCUACAUCUUGUAGACAUCCAAUAUUUUCCAAUAAAUUUCGUAAUGCUAUUCUUAAAUCUAAAACCUCUACAACAUCAAUUUUUAUUUAUUUUUGUGACAAAUAAACAAUAAAUAAUGAAAUUUUAAAAAAAUCUCAUUUAGCUACUAAACACAAUUUAUCUUUAAUAACAUUUUGCAACAAAUAGUUUUCAUUCAAAAUUAUUCAAUGUUGAUAGCGUAGAAUCUUUUUUAUUGUUACAUGAGUGUUUUUAAAAAUUUGAUCACUAAUCAUAACAAAUCUCAAGUAAAAAUAAUGAUUCGUUCUAUAUAAUUAAGAAUAAAAUUAAACUAAUAACAUAUAAUUCAUUAAAGAUACUUUUGAUCCAGACUCAUCAUAAUCAUUCCUUGAGUCUCUCAUAAAAUGGCAGAAUUGUUUAGAAGCACCAAUCAGUAACAGAACAAUAUAUCUUAAAAAUGUUAUGAUUAAUUUUUUUUCUUAUUUAUCUUAAUUUUUAAAAAAUAAAGGUAACCAUCUUAAAUAAAUGCAUAUUAUAUAGAUACAAAUAAAAAUUCAUCAUUUAUUUUUUUCUUUAAUAAAUUAAGAGAUAAAGUAUUUAAGAUGUUUCAUAAAAUUUAUAAUAAUAUAUUUUUAUUAAAAUUUAAAAUUUUUAAAACACCAUAGAUCUCAAAAAAAUUAUGCAUAUAAAAAUCAAGAAUGAUUCGUUGUAUACUUUAUUGAAGAGUUUAUAAUUUAGAAUUUAAAUUAUCUCUAAUAGAGAUUGUUGUGAAGUAAUUUUAAAGUACACUAUAAUUAUAAAUCGGUCAUAUAUCAUAAAUCAUAUAUAUAUAUAUAUAUAUAUAUAAAGAUAAAUAUAAGUUAAAAUUAUUAUUAGAUAUAAAUAUUAAAAUAAAGCAACAAUUUCAAGUUGCAUGACAAUAAAGUACACAUGUAUGAAUUAAUGUUUGUUGCACUAACAUAUUUAGUAUUUUCGUUUUUUCAACAUCAUAAAGUAUUAAUAAUUUGUAUAAAUGUUUUAUGCAUUGCAUUAAGAUAGAAAGAAAGCUUAGUGGGAUAAAGAAAAUUCUUUAAAAGGCUAGGACUCUAUGUAUAUUUCAAGAAAAGCCUUUGUAAAAUUGAACUUGAUCUGGCAAGUAUAAUAUAAAAGUGUGCAUAUUUUGUUUUUUGUUUUUUUUUUUUUUUUGUUUUUUUUUUUUUUUCUAAAUUUUCUUUCUAAUUAUUAUUAUUUAUACAUGUGAUUAUUUAUUUAUUUUUUGAUUCUAUGUGUAUUUUAUUUUUCAUUGUUUCAUUCAAUAUUUUUGUGGUAUUGAUGAAAUAUAAUAGUAUUACUUUGAUUUCAUUAUUUCAAAAACAUAAUUAUUCAAUUAUAUAAUUAUUAAAAUUAUCUUGAAAUUUCAAACAUAAUAAUAAAAUAUGACAGUGAAAUUCUUUAUUAAAUUUUUAUUUGUAUUAUACUAUAUAUUAUAACACAUCCUUAAUUUUCUUUAAUAUAUUAUUCAUAAAAAAAAGGUCUUCAAUACUUGUAUGUAUAUAUAUGUGUUUAUAUGUAUUUAUAUUUAGUUUUAAAAUAUCCUUAUUUAGGUAUUAUAAUUCAAAAUAUUUAUAAAUUAAAUACGUAGUUUGAUAUAUAAUCUAAAUUAACUAAACAAAAAGAAUUAGUAUCAAUGAAUUAUAUUCAUUGUUUUAUUUCUACCAAAGCCCUACAAUUAAGAAGUAAAAAAAUUAUUGUUCAUAUCUCUAGUUCUUUGAAAGUCCUUAAUCAUUAAAGAAAAAGAAUCUUAUUGGUCAACAUGUAAUUCAAAAUAAAAAGAAAUUUAUUCUUGUCAACUUGAUGGAUAUUUGUAAUAAUUCAAAUUGAUGAAUUGUUAAUAAUUUGACUAAAUGAGGACGCAUUGCUAAUAAUUUUAAAAGUAAAUAAAUAUUAUAAAUGAUUCAUAUUAUAUAAAAUAUUUUUUCAUAAUAAAAAAUCAUGUUAAAUAAUUAUUUAAAAAAAUCCUUAAAAUCAUGCUUAAUAUUCAGUUAAAGAAUGCAGAAAUAUAAUUAUUUGUAAUAAAAUUAGUUCUUAAGAACCAAAUUUAAAGAUUGUUAACUAGCAUGGUAAACCAAGUCCAAACAUUGAAAGGUAGAUUAGAAAUACUCACCAAAGUAAGUGUAGAAUAGAUAUUAAUUCGUUUUUGAAAGAUAUUGGUAAAAUAUAUUAAUAGUCCAUAUAAUAGGAAAUUCAAGAGGAUGGAUGAGUGAUUUAGUUCUUAAAAGUAGUUAAUUAUAGAAUUACGGUUAGAAUCUAGAGAAUCAGGAGAAAGUAUAUAGGAGUUGUAGAAGUUAAUUAAGAUGCCAAACUGUGAGAGUCGUAAGCCGAGUGCCAGACUGUGAUAGUCAUGAGCCGAGGACCAUCACUGUGAUAGUGUGAACCGGGGUAAGCUUGGUGCUACCUCUUUUCUUUUGUUUGUUAUUUUCUUUGAAUAAGAGGAUUGAAAGUUUCUGAAUAUUGUGAAGUGAAUUAUGGAAUGGAAAUGUGAUUGGUAUUAUUUGAAAAGAAGAAAGAUUGAAUGCUGAAAUCUGAUUGUAGUUCAGCAGAGAGAAUGAGUCUGUGUUUGUGUGAAACAUUGUAAUGUGAAUGGCAAUUCUGUGUGAAGAAUUCUAGUGAUUGGAAUGAGGGUAAUUGUCUGCUGAAAGUUGUGAGGGUGCAGUAUUACAGUUGGAGAUUAUCAGGGUGAAUAUAUUGGUAGAAAUAGCAGUUAUUGGUAUGACUGAAUUGCUGUAAGGAAGAGACUGAUAAGGUGAAGGAGGAGAUUAUAGUUUCUUUGUGUGUUCAGAUAUUAGAAGUAGAGAUGAUACAUUCAGGAGGUAAUUGAUUGUAUGACCCUAACGUGAACGCUUAAGCAACUAGUCAUUUCCCGUGUUCAAAUCUCCCUAUACGGAUUUAUUCUAGGAGGUUUCUUUCAAAAUAAGUAAAACAAGCAAUCACAUUUUGGCGCCACUACUGGAGAGUGAUAAUAGCUUUGAGUGUUAGGAAUUAAUUACCAAACGUGUGAGAAAAUUGGCAAUGGAAGAUGAUUUCAGUAGUGUUUGAAGCAAGAUUAUGGUUAAUAAGAACGAGAGCAUUGCAUCAAGGAAAAUAAAUCAGUUGAGAGAAAGACAGGGAAGAGCACAAGGAAGGAACUUGCUUAGAGAGGAGCAAGAACAUAAUCUUAAAAGGAAGCAUGGACAUAAUUGGAUUAAAUCAUAGUUACAAGCUUGUCAGCGUAUCCAAAGAUAUCAAGAACCGGACAGACUGUUAAUUCUACAAUCGUAUGUACUAUUAGAAAAACUACCAAGAACACUUGCGAGAAAUUUUGUUAACAUUUCAGUGGAAAUCUUGAGGCCGUUAACUGAAAGAGAAGGAGGCGUAGAAGAAUUUGGUACUCCAUUGGGUAUUUUUUUAGUAGGGGGUACCGCUGAAACGAGUAAUAGUGGCUCUUCAGAUUGGCACAAAUUGGUCGCCAAUAAAGAUAACUAUGUUGUAUUUCAAAAUCUGACGUUUUCACCUGCAAUUCAACCAAUAAAACUAUUUGCAAAAAAUAACAGUAAAUCGAGGAGCACUGAGAGCUCAAAAAUUAGAAUAAGGGAAAGAAGAGAUUAUUUUAAAAUGGAGUUUAGCGGAACAAGAAAUUCAAUGGCGUCAGGAGGACCAGCUGUUCCGAUUGCAGUACAAAUGGGUGCAGUAGGUGAUCGUACAACUAGUGUCGCGCCAUUACCUACUUUUUGGGGUUUGUCAGGUACAGAUUUAUAUCAACAUUUGUCUCAAUUCUUGAUGGCGUGUGUAGCCAAUAAUGGAAGAACAGAAGACAUUUGGUUAAGAUGGCUGCCAGCGACAUUGAAAGACACAGCGUUUGAUUGAUAUAACCGCCAACCUGUGGGACAAUUUAUCAAUUGGGAGGCAUUGAAAAAUAAAUUUUUAGUCCAUUUUUGACCAAUUGGUUUUGAAGAACAUCUUAGAGAAAAAUUAAUGACCAGCAGAAUAGUACCAGAGGAAGCGGUACAGUCAUAUUAUGGUCGUGUAGCAGAUAUACUUCGAAAAUGGCCAAAUAACCAAAUGUCAGAAUCGUUUGUGUUGUCCAUAUUGGUUAAUGGACUACACCCACCAGAAUUGAAGAUAUUUGUAAAGGAGGCCCAAUUAGCCACCAUAGCAUUAUUUCUUGAGCAAGCGAAAGUAUGAGAGGAAUGUCACUAUGACCAGAACUUAACAGUUGGAGCUAGGAUGAUUCCAUCUCAAGGAGGUUAUCAAAUAACAAAUUGGAAUGAUACAUAGGAAAGUUAUAUGGGAAGGAAUGAUUAUGGUACAAUUCCACAGGGAAUAGUGGAUGCCGUUCCAUUGCAAGCUGUACCACCAUCAUCAUCACACUCGUAUGCGCCUUAUUCCGCAUAUCAAAAACCAACACCUACGAAGGAAUUGCCAAAUGCAUUGGUAUCAAGGGAUCCCAAUGAGUCAUUGCUAUUAACAUUGACGAAAAAAAUGGAUGAAUUGGCUAUGAAUUUGACCAAAGAUAAAGAAAAAAGGUAUAAACCAACCAAUAUGUAUUCCAAUGUCUGGUGCAGCAAUUGUAAGGGGCAAGGUCAUUUAGUAACAGAAUGUCCUUCACCUCUCCAAAUGACUGUACAAUGUACAUUUUGCGGGGGCAAGCAUAUUACCACCAAUUAUUGGAAUUUACGGAAGCAACAAUAACUCAGUAACCACAUAAUGACUCAACCAACUUCGUGGGAUGUCAAUUAAGUACAAACGAAUAAUAGGUUUGGUUGGAAUGGAAAUUGAGCGAAUAAACAAAGCAAGAAUUAUUCUGAUUUUCUAAACUCUGAAUUUCACCAAGAAGGUGUAUCGAAUACUCAUGGAUUGGCAAUGAACCAACCAAGAUACCAUCAAUAUCCACCUAUGAUGAAUCCAAUGUCAGACUCUACAAUAACAAUGGGUCAACCAGGAUCCUUUACUCAUCCGACAUGGGAUAGACCUAGCCGUUAUAUACCAGUAGAGACACCUAUUAUCCUUGAAGGAGUUGGCAAGAGACCACUUCAUUGCUAUUUUUGUAGACAAAUCAGACAUUAUGCAAAUGAAUGUCCUAAUCCAAGGGCCAGUGAUGACUAUGCUCUAAUAUGUGGAAAUUGUAAGCAGUCUGGUCACACUUAUCAGCAGUGCAGUGCGCCCUUUAAUUAUAAUAAUCGAGACCAGCAAAUACAAAUAAGCCAACCGGCGGAGGACAAAGAUUCUGUUCAACGAGACGCACCAGUACAUUGUGUCGAGGUGGUGAACGCAGUGCUUACCAGAGGCCAACAAAAAGACACGAAUCUAAUUCAUGACAUAGAUGAACCAAUCGCAGGAGAGCAAGUAGCAUCGUCCACAUGGCUAAACGAACCAAUAUCAGUAUUGGGACGUAUCCCAAUAUUGAGACCUCAAUAGACGAAGGAACCCAAUUUGAUUCCACAUGCCAAUUUGUGAGGACCAUCCAAUUCAAGUCUUGUUACGGGCUCUGUACCCAGUAUGAGACCUGAAUUAGUGGCAGAACCAAAUGAGGUCCCAAUUACGGAGGCUUUGGUUCCAUUACAAGAAGUUUCAAUCUCUACGUAGUUCCGAGAAAUAUCCUACCCGUUGAAAGAUCCUCUCGAGGGCGGGAAUUCCAAGGAAGCCCUGGCUGCUAUUCCAAUUUCGAGUCCAGGGCGGAAGAAUAUCUUACCUCAUGGAGUAAAAUUGAAACCAAUGAAAUGCAAAAGAGCAUUGGGAAUUACUCUCAAUAUGGAACCUUACAACAUUCUGAAGGAUUUGGAUGUUAUUCAGCCUUUAAUUACAAUGAAGCAACUUUUGGCUGUAGCACCAGAAUGUCGAUUCAUAUUGAAUUUAGUGUUAAUAUGAUGAAGAUCCAGUACUAAAGAAAUUCAUGAAAUUAGCUUAAACCUAGAUCCGGGAGCACCAACAAUUGAUGUAUCAAUCGAUGGCGUUUUAAUUCCAGGGAUACAAGUUGAUGGUGGCUCUAGUGUGAAUUUAAUGAAUGCAGAUACAAUGGAGGACUUGGAUCUAAAGCAAUUGCUACCUACGACAUUGGUCUUGCAAAUGGGAGAUCAUAGUUGGGUAAAGCCAAUGGAAAUCUGAGGCAAUAUUGCCAUUGUAAUCGUGGGAUUGACAUACAAAAUCGAUUAUAUUGUAUUUCGAUUACAGAGUUUUAUGUUAUCAUAUUCCAUUUUAUUGGGCAGACCUUGGCUUUAUCAAGCCAAAGCCAAGAACGAUUGGGGCCGAGGCACAUUGACAAUUGGAAAAGGCCGGGACCAGAUUGUUCUACAGAUGUAUCCGGUACAAUAUCAUGGAGAAUCUCAAUUGCCAGAAGCAGAAUUUACAUCACACAAUGAGAGUCAAUCGAUUGAGGCAGAUGAUGAUGCUAUAGGUUCACCGCAAUUUGGGGUAGGACAAAACACUUCAACAGCAAAGGCAGGAGUCUACCAAUGUGGAAGUUCCGGUGAAUAUUUACUGCAUCAGGAGGAUGUGAUUAACUCGCAUCAUGCUAUUGUCGAAUGGAUGAACAAUCCCGCAGUCAAUAGAGUCAGCACAUUGGAACCAGAUUUGGAUGGUUCCCAUAUGUCGGAUAAUACAAGAUAUUCAGAUCAAGAGAAGACAAUUAAAUUAGAGGUUGUUGAAGACCCUAUGUGUCAAUCUAUUAACUUGGGCACCAACAAAAUGCCACAACUAAUUAAAAUAUAUGUAGAUAUUAUCGGUACAGAAUUGGAUGCUUGAAAAUAGUUUUUUGUUCAUCACAAAUCUGCUUUUGCAUGGUCGUAUGCGGAUUUGAAAGAGAUUCCAGCUGACAUGUGUGAGCACCAGAUUAUUCUGGAGGAGGGUGUUACGCCAGUUUGUCAAAGACAACAUUGGCUUAAUCCAAAAUAUUCUCUUUUAGUGAAAGAGAAAUUAGAUAAACUUCUCGACAUGGAUUUUAUUUAUCCUAUUCCGCAUAGUGCAUGGGUGUCGCCAAUCGUGAUGGUACCAAAGAAGAAUGGAAAAAUCAAGAUAUGUCAAGAUUUUUGAAAGUUAAAUGCGGCCACUAAGAAAGAUUACUUUUCAUUACCUUUCACGGAUAGUAUGGGUAACAUAUUGUCAUUAUCACCAAGUAGUAAAAGAAUAGGAGUGGGGCACCAAUUAAAGUCAUUCUGUGGUGUUGUUUUGGAUUGGCUGGAGUACCAUUUUCUUGUAUUUCUUGUGUUUUCGAGAAUAGUAGUUCCAAAUAAAAGUUAACAAUGAGGAGCCAGUCACAAGUGUCGAUUGAAGAUGUUCCAGAAUGGAUGAGAUAGCAGCAACAACAAUUGGAAUUGAGAGAUGCCCAGAUCUUGAAAUUGGAAGCUUAAAUCUGUAAACUGGGCGAGUACAAUGAAGACCUUUCAACUCAGUUGAGGCAGGAGCCGAUGGAAGGAUUGGAGGAAGAAGAAGAAGAUUUGCAGUUGGAACCGGAAUCAGUGGAACCAAUAACAGAUACUGCGGCAAUUGAUUAAUUAGAUAGGCCAGAGGGAUCGCAAUUUUUGUGGAGAUUUAUUAGAUAAUUUUUAGAUAGGUAUCAAUUGAAUGUUUGCGAGGACGCUGCACAGAUAGGAGUGGGGCUAUGUAGAAUAGAUAUUAAUUCAUUUUUGAAAGGUAUUAGUAAAAUAUAUUAAUAGUCCAUAUAAUAGGAAAUUCAAGAGGAUGGAUGAGUGAUUUAGUUCUUAAAAGUAGUUAAUUACAGAAUUACGAUUAGAAUCUAGAGAAUCAGGAGAAAGUAUAUAGGAGUUGUAGAAGUUAAUUAAGAUGCCAGACUGUGAGAGUCGUAAGCCGAGUGCCAGACUGUGAUAGUCAUGAGCCGAGGACCAUCACUGUGAUAGUGUGAACCGGGGUAAGCUUGAUGCUACCUCUUUUCUUUUGUUUGUUAUUUUCUUUGAAUAAGAGGAUUGAAAGUUUCUGAAUAUUGUGAAGUGAAUUAUGGAAUGGAAAUGUGAUUGGUAUUAUUUGAAAAGAAGAAAGAUUGAAUGCUGAAAUCUGAUUGUAGUUCAGCAGAGAGAAUGAGUCUGUGUUUGUGUGAAACAUUGUAAUGUGAAUGGCAGUUCUGUGUGAAGAAUUCUAGUGAUUGGAAUGAGGGUAAUUGUCUGCUGAAAGUUGUGAGGGUGCAGUAUUACAGUUGGAGAUUAUCAGGGUGAAUAUAUUGGUAGAAAUAGCAGUUAUUGGUAUGACUGAAUUGCUGUAAGGAAGAGACCGAUAAGAUGAAGGAGGAGAUUAUAGUUUCUUUGUAUGUUCAGAUAUUAGAAGUAGAGACGAUACAUUCAGGAGGUAAUUGAUUGUAUGACCCUAACAUGAAUGCUUAAGCAACUAGUCAUUUUCCGUAUUCGAACCCCCUUAUACGGGUUUAUUUUAGGAGGUUUCUUCCAAAAUAAGUAAAACGAGUAAUCACAGUAAGAAUUAAACAUUUUGGGAUCCGAGAUGGAACAAAUUUGAUUAACUAUUCAUAUAAAGAUAACUAAAAGUUUUUAAUUAAUUAAAAUAAUAUAAGUAACUACAAAGGCCAUAGGAUUAUGAGAGCACAUGCAUAUGCAAAGAACACAAGAAAAAUCAAAUAAUAUCAAAUAUUCUAUGCAAAGAUAUUUUUAUUUUUAUUUUUAUUGAUAUAAUUUUUUUCUUUAAAUAAUUAUUAAUUCCAUACCAUUUCUUUGAAGUUAUUAAUUUAUCUCUUAUAUAUAUUUAUUUUAUUUUAUUUCAUCUAAGCUCAUUUCUUGCCACCUUUCUGAAGUUAAGUUGUAUGUAGUCAAACUUAACUAAUAAAUAAUGUAAAACUCCUUAAAACAAGAAUUUUGUCUAUAACUUGCCAACUCAACACAAAAGGCCGUUUCUAGAUUGAUAUUCAAUAAGACAAAUUAUUAUUCAAUUUUGAUUUAAAGCUACAACACAUCUUUUCUAAUUUAAUGCUUACUCAAGAAAGAAGUCAUCUACAUGGUAAGUUGUUGUCAAGGACAAGAACUUGAUAAAAAUAAAUAAACAAGUGAGACUUUUCUCAAAGAAAGAUGAAAAAUACAAAUGAUUUAAUAUAUAUAUUAAAAAAGAAACUAGAAUGGCUAUUGCUAAAAGACAAGAAAACUAGAGAUCCUUGAAACUACACUACUUUUACUUACUUCUAUUUAUUUAUACAUGUAAUUACUGGCUUACAUGCAUAUGUCCAUGACAUUAUCCACUCUUCUAGGGACGAGUUCCAAGAGGAGCGAUCAUCAUAUGUUGAAGAAAUCUAUGAUGUUACAAAUUAUAUUUGCCACAUACUCUGAUCUUUGUUCUCUUUGAAGAUGAUUCAUAGGGCCUAUCAAUCAUUGAUAGUGUUCCAUACCAGAGUAGGAAGACCACCCAAUUAUUUGAUCGUUGUUGAAGAAUUCAUAACUUCUUUCAAAUAAAAUAUUUGGAACACCGCCAGGAGUUGUUCCUACCUCUAGUAAAAUCACCAAACAUCGAGAGUCCCUUCCAAGGUUGUGAUACCCAAUACGUUAUAUCUUGCCAUCUAUUCAAGGAAGAACAUGUUGUUCUCGAAGAUCUUUAUCUUGAUUGCAUCGUCUUGAAGGUUGUAACAAUUGUAAUAUUUCAUUCGGCAGGUCAACAAACAAAGGCUCUUGAGUCGAAUCUGCUAGUUGUUGAUUCUCCAUCUCCUCAGUAUCACAACUACAAAGAAGCUACAAACAAGGAUUGAAAGUAGAAUAUUAUCUUGUCUAGAUCUUAUUUCUUUUAUAAGGAAGGUUUUCAUCUUGAUUUUGAUGGAUGUUGUUGAUGAAAAGCCUCCACCGCCUUUCUUGCAUUUGUAAGAUUCUUUACUAGCUCCCAUGUGCGUUCACUAAUAUUAUAUCCGUACCAAUGGACAAGAUAUUUUAAUUUAUUUUGGCGUUGCCUUGAAUCUAAGACUUCUUCCACUUCGAACUCUUUAUUAUUGUCCACUUCUAUAGGAGGAGGUGGAACUUGUCUUCUUCUUAGUAUGUCCACUGUCUUGUAUGGUUUAAGAAAAAACAUGUGGAAUACUGGAUGGAUUUUCAUUGACUCCGAUAGGUUUAAACAAUAUGCAAAUAGGUUGAUUUGUACAGAAAUAGAUAAAUGGUCCAAGACUUUGAUAGUCCAACUUGUCACAAGGACAAGUGAUUUUGAUAUUGCGACAAAGUAAUCAUAUCUUGUCAUCCAAGUGGAAUGGUGGUUGUUCCUUUCGAUAGACAUCCGCAUUGACCUUUUGUUGUUCUUGAGCUUUUUUUAACUGCACCUUCAUUGUUGUAUGUAGCUUUGACAAAAGAAUUGCCAAAUCUUUUGCCGUAGGAUUAUUAACUUUUGAAAAGUCAAAAGUAUCAAGUCGUGGAUGAUAACCAUAAUUGACAAUGAAAGGUGUUUGUUUUGAAGAAGAAUGUACCGUGUUAUUGUAAGCAAACUCUGCCAAUGCCAAAAGAAUUAUCCAAUCAUCUUAUUGUUAGUUGAUGGUACAUCUUAAAUACUGCUCCAAAACUUAAUUAACACGCUUCGUUUGUCCAUUAGUUUGAGGAUGGAAUGUCAAAGAUAGUUUUAUAUCUACUUUUAGAAUCUUAAAAAGAUUCCUCCAAAAUCUUGAUACAAACUCAGUUCUCCUAUCUGAUAUAAUAUCCUUGGAUAAUCCAUGAUAGUGAUAGAUAUUGUUAAAAAAAAGCUUAGUUGUUUCUUCACAUGUGAAAGAUUUUUUACAUGGUAUAAAAUGUGCCAUCUUAGUAAAACGAUCUACUAUCACGAAUAUAGAGUCAUAAGAAUUUGAGAUUAGAAGAUCCGUGAUGAAAUCCAUAGAAACAGAAGAC
This 73880-nucleotide long non-coding RNA is filed under the name Physcomitrium patens. RNAcentral describes it as "long non-coding RNA (PPAT_LNC011427)". Lineage: Eukaryota; Viridiplantae; Streptophyta; Bryopsida; Funariales; Funariaceae. The record is from RNAcentral.